This 48562-nucleotide long non-coding RNA is filed under the name Ananas comosus (pineapple). RNAcentral describes it as "long non-coding RNA (ACOM_LNC004279)". Lineage: Eukaryota; Viridiplantae; Streptophyta; Magnoliopsida; Poales; Bromeliaceae. The record is from RNAcentral.
GCUUGAUUUGCAUGUAACUAUGUAAGAAAUACUUAAAAUCAUUAAUAUUUGUGCAGAAAAAAAUUAUUGUUUAAAUUAUUUUGACGAUAAUAAAUUAUAAGCUUCUUCAGUCUAAAGUGCUGGUAUAAUAAUAAGAACUUCAAAAACAAUCUUUAAAAAAUUUCACAUAAACAUAAAGCAAUCUAUUAUGAAAAAUGCACAAACAUAUGUUAUCCCUAUUGGAUUUGGAUUUGAGUUAGAAUCAAAAUCCGAACCCUAACCCUUCUUAACCCUCCCUAAUGCAAAUGAGGAUUUGAACAUAAACAAACUCGAAUAGGUUUGACCGCGAAACGCUUACCUCUAACUCAGUUAACAUUAGAUAUCGUACAUUGUUAUUUUAUUACACAUGACUUUAAAUAUGUGUACCGUGUCAAACAUUUGAAAAAGAAGGCCUUAUUAUUCUAAUGAAAAAGAGAAAUUUAGGAUGUACCGAACGAAGCAAAAAGAGAAAGAGAAAGAAUAACAUAUUAUUAUUAUCAUUAAUAUUUUUCACACUACAUGAUUGGCCAAUAAACACCAUAAUAAUUAGGAACUAGGAAGGCUAAUUAAAAGCUUAGGGUCGUACUUAUAAGCACAUAAUAUUGGAUUAGUAUAAAUGCGGAAAACAGAGUUGUAGUAGUUCCACGGAGUAUCCUGAUUUUGUUAUACUUUAGUUUCCAUUUUGCGUACAAGGGGCGUAGCACCAAUUCCAUCUCUCCAGGGCGGUGGUUACCUUAGUCCUCGGCGGAGCACCACACCGCGGGGGUCUCUUCCUCCUCCUCCUCUUCUUCUUCUUCUUCUUCUUCUUCGUCCUCGUCCUCUUCGCCGGAGAUGGCCGACGACGGCGGCGGAGGCGGCGGCGGAGGAGGGGCGGCGGAGGCGUAUCGGAGCUACAAGGCGCUGGUGGAGAGCGCGGAUCGGAAGUUCGCGCGGGUGCGGGACCUGCCCCCGUACGGGCGCGGCGCCCACCACCUGCUCUACUACCGGAAGGUGUUCAAGGCGUACACGCGGCUGUGGCGGUUCCAGCAGGAGCGGCGCCGCGAGCUCGUCGCGGCGGGGCUGCGGCGGUGGGAGAUCGGCGAGAUCGCGUCACGGAUCGGGCAGCUGUACUACGGGCAGUACAUGCGCACCAGCGAGGCGCGGUUCCUCCUCGGGGCGUACGUGUUCUACGAGGCGAUCCUCAACAGGGGCUACUUCGACGCCGCCGCGCGGGGGGAAACGCCGUCGCCGCGGCAGCGCCCCGAUCUAGGGCUCCGGUACAAGGAGCUGCGGUUCCACGCCAGGUUCCUGAUCGUCGCCAUGCUUCUGAACCGCGCCGAGGCGGUGAGGCACCUCGCCGAGCGGUUCCGAGCGCUCUUGGAAGAGUCCAAGGCCGCUUACCCGGUAAUUACCUUUUCUUUUAGCUCUUAUUAAUGUCUUAAUUUGAUCCGUAUUUUUUUUUUUUUUUUUUUUUUUUUUAUCUUUGUUGAAAAAUUUAGUUCUUUGUUGAGUUGGUAAAGGAUUUAGGGUGUUGUGAUUGAAGAUGAGCACUUUUAUUUGUUUUCAAGUUGCAACGAAGAAUCGAAUACUCGAUUAAUCGCUCAAGAUUCACCAUUUUGUUAGUGUUCUUACUCUCUGAACUUGCAGUUCGCUCCGUAAGCAAGUUUAGUAGCCAAUAAUUGUGAACUUAUUUAUGCGUUAUAGAAGUAGGUUGCUGGUUGGUGCUGCAAGCCACGUACUUUAGCAAUUUGUCUCUUCAUAUUUUUAAUUAGUAGUUUCACCUACUUAUUAUUUUAAGCAGCCGACUACUUAUUUUGAGCAGCCAAUUUCCCUAGUCGUUAGUUGUUGGUACUAAAUUCAAUGCUUCAGAGAUGGUUCAGUCUCCUGAGUUCUUCAAUUUUAACAAACUAUCAUUUCAAUCCCUCAAUCAUGAUGAUGGGCCAACAAAACUUAAAAGUUCUACUAUUAUAGUCAUGAAUUAAAGUUUUAAAAUUAAGUACUGUUCACUAUAGAAUAUAGGGCGCUCAGCUGCUGUCUUAUUCAUCACUUUAUCUUGAGUCUAAUAUGAUGAAAGCGUAACUUUCUUUUGUAUAACAGUAAGCAAGGUCUUGAACUAUAGGAAAAAUAACAAUUUGUGUAUGUAAUCCUAGAAGUUGUUGUAUAAGCAGGUUGAUACGCCAGUUUUUUAACAACAUUGGGAAAGAAGAAUGCUCUGGUGGAAGGCUGGAAGCUACAGAAGGUCCUGAUGACGAAAGCAGCCUGAUAGUUUUCCUGACAUAUUCAAUAUCUGAGUUGAGAUAUAACUCAGCAAAUAGCAAUUCUGGGCAAUUGUUUUGACCUUUUUAUAUUUUAAAGUAAGGAGACUAAUCUUUUGGCUCAUAUUGCUGAGCUGUAGGUACUGACAGCAAACUCAAUCAGAGAGACUAGUAUGACGUCUAGUUAUAGCCAGCGUUUCAGCCUUUUUCAUGUGACACAAGACAGCAGUGCGGGCUUGCUUUUGGACCUAGAGAAGAAGUUUGCAUCUCUCCGAAGUGGAGGAAGUGUAUUUAGCGCUCUUAGUUUUCCUAAAUUUGCCAGAUAAGAUCCUUUUAGUUAGAUACUUUAGAAAAGCAAAUUAGGUGAAUUUUGAUUCACAUUCAUCGAGGUUGUGGCAUUUGUUGGUUCCAGUGUAUGUGACUCAAACUUCUUGGCCCAAGUUUGUUGAGUCAUUGACAACUUGAACCUUUAUAGAAUUCACAUGUUUAUGCCGAAGAAAUGAUACGGUAAAUAAAGCAGAGUUCCAAUAUUCACAAAUCCAGAAGAUCAAAGUUGAUAUAGCCAAACGGCCGAUUGGUUGGAGUUGAGGCUACUAAGCCCUUCAGUGUUUUGGCUGAUUCAGAACCUGAUGUAGCCUACGAAGGAAGAUAAUCGUCUGAGGUGGAGACUACUAAUCCUGUACCUGCUGUUGGAAUGCAGAGGCCAGAAAGUCAUUUUAUGAAUGGAUGAUAUUACUUGAACAUCGACACAGGAACUUCUAUACACAAUAGUCAAAGUCUCGAACUUCUAUUUCAUUGGACAGAUUCUGUCCAAGCAAAAAGUGAGAUAACAUACAUUUUUAUCUUGUUUGCUAACUUGUCAGCAUGACAUAACUGUCUGCUCCUUUUCUUUAGGUUUACUAUGUCAUACAAUUGCUUUAAUUUACAUCAUUCUGUUUGGAUGCUGUGAUACCCCUGUAUUCGCAUCAGUGAUUACGUACUUGAUGUACAUGUGUGUAGUUUGCUGUGCUUUUUGACUUUUUAGCUAAUAAUAUUUGUGAGAGUGAUCCUUUUUGUUGCAAAUCUUAAUUCGAUUGUACAGCUCUAGGUUUUUUUCCAUGUUUAUAAAAUAUAAUUGCAUACAUUAUUAUUAUCUAUGUUCGGCAGGGAUCAAUUUAACUAAUUAUUAGCAAGUUCCAUAGUUCUAGACAAUUUCAUAUUUUGUCUAGUUUGACCUAUUGAAUGUUAUUGCCAGCCUCUCUCACAACAGAAUAUUUUACUAUGCAGGAGACCAACUUUAAAGAAUGGAAGCAAGUGCUGCAAGAAAUCACAAGGUUCUUGAAAGCAGACAGAGCUUUUACAAAUUCCAGGCCUUUGAGAUACAAUGUGUUGUUUGAUUCUCAUCCAUCUUCGCUUCCAUAUAUUGCACGGUUACAUUCGAGGAGGGUGUUGAGGCUUCAGGAUGCUCUGUUGACAAGUUAUCGGCGAAAUGAGGUAUGCUGAUUGAUACCAAUGAAGCCAUGAUAGCCUGUUUUGUGAUAAUCUUGUUCUUACGAUCCAGUUUAAAAAAGCACCAUUUCAAUUUGGAUUUCGUUAUUUGCAGUGUAAGCAGAAUUGUAGAAAAUCCACUCGAAUCUUUUCAUGGAGUGGAUUAUACAGAUUGUGAACCAUCCAAUCCAAAUUGAAUGAUCACCAUAUGUUUGUUUUAUUAUGGAAAAAUAGUCCCCUUAAUUUCAAAAAGAAAGAUAGUCCCCUUGAACUAUGAUAAUAAACAUAGCUCAGAAAUCAGAAUACAGAAAAGUAACUAAGAUUAAAAUCCCGAGAUCUAAAAGCAACUACGAAUAAGUUAAGAUGGAAAAUGAUAAUGGAAAUUCAGGUACCAGCAGAAAUGAUUGAAAUGUUGAAUAUUUUGAACAAAUGACCAAAUUAUCUAGCAUUCGAAUCACCAAAUGUAGCAUUUCUGCAACCCACAACAAAUGUAAUGACAAUCUAACACAAGUUAGUUAUGUGUCUCAUCACUUUUCUAAAUUUACAUGGCCCCAUUGUAAACGAAGUCUUUAACUCUUUAAUCAUCGUAUAAUAUUUAAUUUCUCUUGAUAAAUUCAAUAUUGCAGGUUUUCUGCAACUAGUCUAUGGCCCUUUUCUUACUGGCUUUUAUUUUUUUUGAACUUCCAGGUCAAGUUUACAGAGCUUACUUUAGAUACAUUCAGAAUGUUGCAGUGUUUGGAAUGGGAACCCAGUGGAUCUUUCUGCCAAACUCCUACAAAAGAGACUGCUGAAAAUGGUGGUUUCACUGAUGAGAGUGGAGCAUCUGGACUGAUUGAUAUAAAUCUUGCUGCGGCUGAUAUGACAGAUCCAAAUCUGCCUUCGAAUCCUCGAAAGGCUAUUAUUUAUCACCCUUCUAUCUCUCAUCUAAUUGCGGUGAGUGUAGCAACUGGAUACUAACUGUUGUUUUAAUUUUUCCCAGGUAGUGAACUGGUACAAAGCUGAACCUUGUCAAACUGAAUUAAAUCAUUUAGUUUGGUUUAACUAGCAGUUGGUUUGGGUUUUGGUUUUUAUAUUACCCGGGCCACUCAAUUUGAUUUAAUGUAGUUUUUCACCCAAAAUUGAACUUUACCAACUGAUGUAAUUGUGAAUACUUGUUUGUUAAAGCAAAUUACAUAAAUUUCAAGUUUCUAGCUGUCGCCUGAAAAAUCAUAAUACGACUGUUAGUUGAUCGGAGCUAGUUAAAUGUGAUUAGAAGAUGAUAUACAUCUCCUUCGUCUGUAUGAAUAGUAGGUACUAAAGCAGCGAUUUGAUUGACUCCACAAUUAUAUACCACAUAUCAUGCUUGUGUCAAACAUGUCUGUGCAAAAAGUUAUUUGUCCUGUAGCUAUUUGCAGUAGCUUUUUCUAAUAUGAUUGUUCUUUGACUGUCAUAAGGUUGUAUGCUGUAUCUACAGGUCAUUGCAACAAUUUGUGAGGAGCUCUCUUCAGAUGGUGUUUUACUAAUAUAUAUAUCAGCAUCAGGUUGUUGUUAGUGCGGUUGUUUCUUCUUUAUCCUUCUGCUUAUUUGAGUGGGGAUCAUUCCAUUUACUAAUUUUAUGAUACUUUGCAGGAAAAGCUGAUCACUCUCUUGGUGGUAAACCAAAUACAAAUGUCUCUUCAGAAAGUUAUCUAUAUCUAGGUUCUCGAGGAAAUGGAGGUAUGUAACUGUUGUCAAACCCAUGAUAUACUAAACAAUGUGAAACACAUCUUGGUCUGAUAGUUGAAAUUGCUAGUCCUUGUACUUUUUUAGCUGACAUGGUGUUUUCCUGCUUAUAAGCUCGUAGUCUUUCUUGUUAGCAGGGUUGAACAACCUCUAUCCCGAAGAUCUGAUUCCUUUUACUCGAAGUCCGCUUUUCCUUAUUAUCGAUAGUGACAAUAGCCAAGCAUUCAAGGCAGGUUUGUCAAAACUUGUUCUCUAUGUGCUAGCAAACAUUCUCAAUCAUGAACGUCUCUUUUUAUGAUCAAAUCUUGGAAACAUCACUUCUAAACUGGUGUUACUCCUACUUAUAUUUCUGUUUUAGAGGUUUAGAUCUUUUUACGGCUGAUAAUUAUGUGACCACAUGAUGUAAGGAGAAGCAUUUGUAUUUAGAAAAAUCUAUGGUUAUGAUAUAUAUAACUGCCUCAAUAACCCUUCGAGCUUCAACUGUUUUACAUGAUAGACUUUAGUAUUGACAACAAAAGACAUGGGUGCCUGGAUCUCAUUUCAGUGGCUUAACACUUUUGUUUUGGAUACUGUCAAACUGUAUAUCAUAUAAGAGAUGAUAGGCGUUGAACCACUUCAAUUGCAAAAUAUAAUUUGACACGAUAUCAGUGCCCACUUUCUUUUGUUGCACUUUUUGUCAAUUUAUCAUCACAUCAUGUUGAAGAGUCAACAUUAGCAUUGCUACUUCAUAUUUGGUGGGCUACACUAUAUUGCCUAUCUACACCAGUUUAUACAGAGAACUUUAUUAUCUUUUUUUUCAAAAGUCGAUUGGUUCUCGUACUUCCUAUAAUAUAAGUUAGAAGGUCGCCCUGCCUUAAGUUGUUUUCUGUUUCUAUUGUAGUUACUAUAGGAAGAUGAUAGGAAGUGAUAAUGUGGUUUAGCGCAUUCGUACUUCGUAGCCCUUAUUCUAAAUUUAUUUACCCUUCUUCUCUUGGGACGUUUUUCCUUUUUUUCAAAAAAAUAAAAAAGAAGAAGAAGCUCAAGCAAUCAACAAUCCUCUCUUGCAUAUUGUACUAUUACCAGGCCAUACAUGGUGCUGAAAAGGGGGAAACAGCUGCUUUGCUUCUUUCUCCUGGGAGAACAAUAACGUCUACUGCAGAUUGUGCUAAUAAUGGAAGCCAAUUUACGUACUUCCUAACUGCUCCACUGCAAGCAUUCUGCCAAUUAGUUGGCUUCUCUUCAGAUAUAGAAGCUGUAAGCUUAUUCUAAGCAUUUAAUAUCUUUACAUCAAUAUAUAUGCUUGCUCUGAUUUUAUUUUUCCUCGCGUGAUUUCAGAAUGUAUAUAGCAGUGCCGAGACGAUACUCUCAUCCGCUUUGGCUGAAUGGGAAGUCGUACUGUGCACAUCAGAUGAUCUGAACCUGGUCUGGGGACAAGUUUUACCUGAUCCAUUUCUGAGACGCCUAAUUCUUAGGUAUUUUGUUCUCAUUCUUCUUUCAUGCAAUAUUUCUUAGUAAGUUUUCUUCAUCUUAGACAUUUAUUCUUUACCACUUGAUAUAUUUCUUGAAAAUAACUCAAAAUUUUGCCCCAUGAGUAUUAAUCUAGAUCUUUUUCCUUUCCUUCAUAAAACUUGCUAAGAUGGUGAUAUAUGUGACAUUGUAUUCCUUGUUUGACUCCUUAGCAUAAAUAUACCUUGCAAAUUGAUCUAUAAACAAUAUUUUUAUAGUCAUUUACAUCAAAUUGAUGCAGAAGCAUGGAUUUAAUAGAGUUGGGAAGUUCGAAUGCUUGGCAGAAAUGAAUGUCCUAAUCAGAACACUUUGUCAUUGAUAUUCACAAAAAAAGAAAAAACCGUUAACUCAUAUAAAUGUGCUGAAAUUAAUGUUCCCUUGUGUAUACAUAUAGGAAUUAAAAUUCUUCAUCCAACUUACUGAAUAUGAGUUUUUUUUUCCUUUUUUUUCACAAGUAAUCUUCUUCUCAUGUAAUUCUAACCAGGUUCAUAUUCUGCCGAGCUGUGCUUUCUCUCUUCUGCUUUCAAGAGGGUAUUCAACAUCUGCCCGAUUGCUUACCGAGCCUUCCAGAAACAGUCUCUCCAAAUUCUGCAGUAAUUCAGACCAACAUCCUUUUGCUUACAGAAAAACUUGGGGUCGCCAACCGUUUUAACUUUCGAGAUAUUGUCCGCGACUAUACAAGGAACAGAUGAUUUGGAAUUCGUAUGUGCAAUCUUCUGUAGAUAGAAUCGCAGUAAAUAGACCCCCACUAUUUGUUGAUUGUUUUGUGUCGAUACGCGGGAUCAUGGACUCUGCUGCGAGCUGUGCUUAGUUAGAGGCAAACCAGCGAGCAGAUUCGGGAAAUAGAGUUGGUAUGUAUCAUCAGAGUAUGUUCGUAGUAUUUAUCGAAUUGUAGGGAGUCUAUGAUUUUUAUUGUUGAUAAAAGGAAACAGUAAAAGAGGCUAAAAAUAGACGUUUUUGUCUGUCCUGUAAUGAGCUACUUUUCCGGGGAGAGAUGAUUUCAGUUUUUUAAGGAGGCUUCUGCUGCAAAUCUUUUUUUCUUUUUUUUUUUUUGAGAGAGAGAUAGGUACCAUUCUAUCAACUUCGUUUAUUUCAUUUAGAAAUAAAUUUAGCUGAAAAUAUGAAUCAAUUAGGAUUCGAACUUGGAAAAAAAAAAGGGAUGCACGCUUCUGCUGCAAUUCUCUUUUAUUCAAAGUGAAUUAUUUUUUGGUUUCCCGGUUUCUUGUGUUGGGUUCAUGCUUAAGAAUCUAUGCUGGUCCAGUGGCCUUUUCGAAUAUGUAUAUAUAUAUAUAUAUAUAUAUAUUUGCUGUAUUAAUCAUAAUAGCUUUUAAAGUUUCUUCAUACUACAAUGCCGUACCAUAUUAUGAUUCAAAGUUUAUCAACAUUUUUAUAGCUGGAGUGUUAUGUAACGAUUCUUCUCUUUUCCUCUGUUCAAAUAGAGUAUACACCUGUUUAAUUAUUUUUUUAAAAAAGGAUUAUACUAUGAUCUGUAAGUCAAACAUCGUCACUUUUUACAUUGUUGUGAGUUAAUAACUUGAAAUUUUGUUAUUAAAAGAUUACUAUUGCUUAUUCACAGGCCAUUUAAAUAAUAUAUUAGAUAACACAUAUAAAAUUAUAUUUUAAUUUAAAGAUGCUAAUUAUUAAGUAAUAAUGCAACAUAUAUAACCUACCAAAACAACCUCAUCUUCUACGGCACUAGGCAGCGACAUGACAGUGGCGGUGACAUUUGUAAUGAAAAUAAUAUAUAUAUUAAUAAGAGUAGAAUAGUCUUCUUACUCCAAAAUAAUUAUAAUUAGAUAUUUAAUUUAUGAUUAAUUAUAAAAUUCUAACGGAUGCUAACAACAUAAGUAUUUUUACAGACGACCUUAAACUUUGUAGGGACAUAUUUAGAAAUGCGGUCUUUGCAGAAAGAGAAGAAUAGCAAACUAAAAAAUUUAAACUAAAAAUUUUGAAUAUUAAUAAUUAAGUGCUUAAGUAACUGUGCCCGUGUAUUAUUUGUUGGACUACAAAUUCUUAUACAAAACUCAUAGGGCGUGUUUGGUUUUGAAAUUGGAGUCGGAAUCAGAAUCGAAAUCAAAAUAAGUUGGAAUCGGAAUCGGAAUGACUCAUUACCUAAUUCUGUUUGGUUUAUCACCUGAAUUGGAAUCGAAAUAAAUCAUUCCCAUUGUCGGUGUUUGGUUUAGGUGGAUAUAAAAAACGUAAUCAAAUUAAUAUACUAACAUUAUUUUUAUAAUAUAUUAAUUUAAAUUCAAAUUAAAAAAUUAAAUAUUAAAAAUUUACAUAGAAAUUUUGAAAUAAUGUCAAAAUUUUAAAUCCAUUUUUUUAAAAAAAAUUAAACUUUGAAGUUGAGUGAAUAAUUCAAAAUAUGAAACUAAAUUUUGAUUUAUUCAAAUUAAGACUAAAAUUAUAAUUUUAAUUUUAAUUUGAAUCCAUAAAUGUAAUUUAAAUUUGAAAUAAAAUUUGAAUAAAAUUUUAUAUAAAUUAAAAUUUAAUUUAAAUUCAUAAGUUAGAUUCGAAAUACUUGAUUAAAUUUUAAUUUUUAAUUUAAGUUCAAAUUAAAAUUUAAAAUUAUAUAUUUAAUUUUUAAAUUUUAGGUCAUAUUUUAAUUAAAAAAGUUGAAAAAACAAAUUUAAUCCGAAUAAAUAUCUAUUCCGUCCGGAUUCAACUUCCAAUCCGACCUCUUAGGCCAGAUUGAAAAAAGAGGUGAUUGUGAGAUUCCUAUUUCACUCGGGAAUCAGAAUCGGAAUGGAACUCUCGCGUACCAAAUACCCACAAAUGAAUUCACCCAUUCUGAUUCCGAUUUCAGGGUGAAAAAGAAGCAAACCAAAUAUGCCCAUACCCAUAUAGAGUAACAAUUUAAAAGACCAAAAGAUAUUUUGAAUGGGAAAAGCCCUAAGGAGCAACUAGCCUGCAAGACAAUGAAUUUUCAAUUUUUUUAAAAUUUAAAACUGGUCAUAUUCAAACGUGCUAAAUUUCCUUGAAAGUACUGAAUCUAUAUCAAAAAGAACGGGGAGGACCAAUAGACUAUAGACACAUGGCACAUAGCAAUGAUGCUGAGUGGUCAAUCAAAAAAAUCUAGGCCAAUUUUAUCUUCCCACUAAAUUUUAUUUAUCUUUUUAAUUUAAUGUUUUUUGUUUGUAAAUUUGAAAAUUUUUUGUUAGAUUCAAAUGGCUAUAAGAGAUACGCUCUACCUUGUAUUUUUGAUUGAAAUGAUUGUAUCUUUUAUGAUCGUUUAUUUUAAUCCUAAUAUAAUUAUUAAAAUUGCUAAAAAAAAAAAAAACUCAAUUAAAUACUUAUUACGAAAAAUAGUAAAGGAUCAAUUCCAAAUAAGUUAAAGUGUAGAGGGUGUCUAUACAUUUUUUACCGAAAAAGUUAGUACGUUCCUUUCAAUUCACGUAAACUUAAAAAGAAAAAAAAAGAAAAAGAAAAAGGAGAAAAGCCCAAAAAGGAUUUCACGGUAAACCUCACGAGAAACGCCUAGCGAUCCGUGGACGAACUCAUCAGCCAAUAGAGACACAGAACAAGGGCUAACGCGAUCCACCCACCAUCUAAAAUCCGAUCUAGGCCGUCACUUGGGAAACGGGAAAACACAGAAAGGGACAAUCUCUACCGUCCGUUUUCAUUAACACAACAAUGAUUCUCUGAUCCGUAUGAGCCGUUGGAUUGUCCACGAGGAGCCGAUCUCGCUGACCCGUUCUUCGAAGGCCUAUAAAUAGGUCUCCACCGCGUGCAAGUCACAACUUUUGAUCGCUCGAGGGGGAAUUAGGGCUCGUUGAUUCUCUGAAAAGCUUCUUCGAGAGGUACGCCUCGGUCCUGUUCUUUUUUUUUUUUAAUUUCUUUUCUUUUGCUGUCUUUUUCAGUAAUUAGAUGUGUUAAUUUUUUACUGUAAUUGUGAUUUUUUCGUGGAAUUCUUUUGUAUUUUUUUUAAUCAUGAUUGAUCUUUGAUUCGUUAUGCUUCGUUUUUGUUUUGGUGAUGUGAUAGGUGUUUUUCUAAUCGGGGAUUUUGAUUUUUGUGUCGUCCUUGCAGUGUUGUAGAUUCGUCUUGGUUUUGUAAGUUUUAUGUUGAUUUGGCUUUUGUUUCUUUUCCUAGUUUUAAGGAUUUCUAUUAUUAAUCUUAUCUCGAGGAACAUUGUUUGAAUAAGGUGCGAGAUAGUUUUGCUGAGGUCUACUAUCAAAGAUUAAUGUAUGCAGUGUUGAUUUGGUUUUAGAUGUAUGUUCGCGCAAUCUCAUUGUUUCAGUUUGUAGAAAGAAGUAUCACUUUUAGAAUUUUUAAUAGAUUAUGUAUCUGACGAUGAGGUAGAUCUUUAUCUCACUAUUUUGUAGAAUCGCCGUGAAAGUAUUACACUGUUGCAUUAAAAUCUUAACUCAAUAACAGUUUUGCGAUCUGCUAUAAUACCUGUGGUGUAAAACUUCUUGAUGUCUCUGCAUUGAGUGAAAUUUUAAGGGUGGGCUAUACCCUUGACACAAUAGCACCUGUUUAAUUCAAUUGUAAUUUUGAUCAAUAGAGAAUCUCUCACAGUUCAAUCACAUAAUAACAUAUUAGAUCAAUUAAGUUAAAUCAAUGGUAUCAAGGUUACUUGAUGAGGAAGAAAGACGGUAAUUAUUUUUUGGCUUGUGUGCGGGAAAGGUUUGAUCCAUCAGAAUUCGUUUGUAGGCGGUAGGAGUAUUGCAGUUUUUAUCUUAAUUUGUUUGCAAGAUGAUUGUCUUCUAUCUGCUAAACUAGUUUAUGUGAUUUGUUGGUCCGGCAGAUGGCUCGUACCAAGCAGACUGCUCGCAAGUCCACCGGAGGAAAGGCUCCCAGGAAGCAGCUUGCCACGAAGGUUUGUUAUCCAGCAUGUUUUAUUGGCUAAAAUGUAUCGCAAACACCCUGAAUUGCGUGUGACCUAAAAAACAAAUCAAACCUGCGAACAUACAUCUUAGCUUUUUUAAUGAUGUAACAGUAUUUACUCAGUUGCAUCUGAAAUAACUUUGCAUGAACUUUGCAGGCGGCACGCAAGUCUGCUCCUACAACUGGUGGAGUGAAGAAGCCUCACCGCUACCGCCCUGGAACUGUUGCUCUUCGGUGAGUGCAAUUAGAGGUUUUAAAUUAGAGGUUUUAGGUUUUAUCUGUAUAUUUGCUCUUGUUUUCCCCCUUUUUUUUUUUUCAGAUGCAUAAUUAGUUGUUUGCUUUCCUCAGUGAGAUUCGUAAGUAUCAGAAGAGCACUGAGCUGCUCAUAAGGAAGUUGCCUUUCCAGAGGCUUGUCAGGGAAAUUGCACAGGACUUCAAGGUGAGAUCUUGCUGUGAUAAGAACAUCAUCUGCUGUUUAUGAUCAAAUAUUGUUCUUGGAGAGAAUUACGCAAAAGCCCUGGGUAUCAGGGAUACACGUAUUUUCUUAUUUCAACUGCUUCAUUUAGAUACUGAUUGAUGAUACUCUUCUUAUUGCCCUGUAAUAUUAUUGCAGACUGAUCUGCGGUUCCAGAGCCAUGCAGUGCUUGCCCUUCAGGAGGCAGCGGAGGCGUAUCUUGUGGGUCUUUUUGAGGACACCAACCUGUGCGCCAUCCAUGCCAAGCGUGUAACCAUCAUGCCCAAGGAUAUUCAGCUGGCCAGGAGGAUCCGUGGUGAGAGGGCUUGAGCUCUCUCUGUCUGUCUCUAGUCUCAUGCUUAUGUUUCUCGUGUAGUAUCAGUUUGUCGAACUGAUUUAUGUUUUUGUUCAGUUGGUAUUUAUGCAACAUGGACAAUGUACGUUUUAAAGUCAUUAGAGUGGCGUAGGAUGCUAAUGUUGAACCUUUUGUUAUUGGUUGGUGAUAGGUCAUCCAUCCCCUGGUGGAUGUGUAUUGAAUUAUUAAUGUGUUCUAUGUGGUUUUAUGGAUUGGACUGUUUGGCUUGUGUAUCUGUGGUCGUGAGUUAUCAUUUUCUUUUGAAACCUCUGCUCUGUAGCAAGAAAGGUGCCAGUUCUAUACUAAUUCAUGAAAAGUUUUAACUGACGAUGGUGUUCAAUUUUUUUUUUCCCCACCUACAUUGCAGUUUUAUUCAGACUAAUGUAAUAAUGGCUCUCUUUAUAUAGCUGGUGGGUGAUUUAUCUUAUUUGCAAAAAGGAAAAAUGACCAUAAAGAUUGAAUGUGGUCUGUCAUGCUAGAUUUUUGUUUGCCUUUUCGUGAUUGCUGGUCAUCGUACACUCUCUGGUUAAAGUAAGAAAAUAUGCUGAAGGUGUUUAUGCAUUCAAGCAUGGGUAAUGUUACUACAUCAAAUUUAUUUAUGAGGUAACAUCUUCUGGAAGUGCAAUUAGUGUACUUGUAAACAGUUUACAAAUGGCCUAAACAUGAUGCAUCGUUGGUCGAGAGCAUCACAAUUUGACUCUUGUUAAGAUCGUGGGCUAAUAUGUUCUUCGAGGACUGGUUUACGACUACUUCUCAUUCCAACCCUGCGUCUCUACCGAAAAAGCAAAAGAUAAGGUUAUUAUUAUACACAUUAUUAGUUUUUACCUCAAAGAAACAAACAAGUCUGAUAAAUUUCCUGGCAAAAUCAUGUAGGACUUGUUUGGCAUGAUAAUGACAGUUUGAUAAUAGCUCAUCUAAUGCUAUAAGAUAAAGCAGAGUCAGAACGAAAUCAUGUAAAGACAAGCUUCUAAAUCACAACUGACCGUGAAAUUUUUUUGCAAUACCAAUGGGAGUCCUAAUUGAUGAAUUUGUAUUCAGGCUUGGUUUUGGAUUCAAUCUGGACAAUUAAGUCCAUCUCCCUCCCUCCCAAGCUUCUCUUGUAUGCGGACUUGAUUUGAAUUUAUGGAAUAAUCACAAAAAAAAUAGUAUAUCAGUUUUGGAUUCUCACAGCACGAUUGAUUUGAAUUUAUGGAAUAAUCAUAAAAAAAAUAGUAUGUCAGUUUUGAAUUCUCACAGCACGAUAAUCUAUCGGGACAACCCCUCUCGUAACGAGAAGAGAAAACAUUGCUUCCGCAGGAUACAAAGUGAUUUCAGAGGGGAUGAAGCGGCUGACAAACUUAUAAAUCUCCCUCAUUUUUUACUUUUUAUCCAAAGAUGGCUCAACUGCAAGUCAUUCAUGUAAGAAAAAAAUUAAAUUUAACCAAUAAAAAUUAUAAAUUCAUUUAAAAAAAUAUAAAUCAUUUGUAAAUAUUAUAGUACUGUUAUAUGUCAGAUAUCAGCAAUUACUAACGAAUUAUGAUAACGCAAGAGAAAUUUAUCGGACAGCGCGGCUUCUUCCAGCAGUCAAGUUUGCUCAGAGGCUAAAAUAUAGGACAAAAAUAAUUUCCCAAAUAGAAACACGCCUGAGGAAUGGGUCUCUUACCGGUCCAUUUCUCGACACCAGAAGGCAUCCCAUCCGGCACUGCCCCUCCCAAUAUUAAACAUUUCCCCUCCUAUAAAAACCCCACCCUAUUUCCUCUCAACAUUCAAGCAAUCACCAUCGUCGAGCCAAUAAAAAGCAGUUAGAGCAUACCACAGGUGAGAGCCGCAUCCCAAUGGCAUUUCUCGGCAACAAGGCGGUGCUGGCACCUGCUUCUGGUGGCCAUGGUGAUGGCUGCGUCGGUGGGGCCGUCGACCCAAGAAGAGUCCCAGUGCUUCUGCGACUGCAUGAAGACGCAGUGCAUGAAGAUCCAAGGCGCCACCAAGGAGGGGUGCGCCAGAGCCUGCAGCGACGGCUGCACCGACGCUGGAUUCCUGGGCCAGUCCAAACCCAAUGAGCACUGUGGUUACUAAUUAUGUUGGCUCGCCGCGGCUUUGCCUCCUCUUCUCCUUUCUUCUUCCUGUUGUUUUUUUCUUUGCUCGCAUAUUACUUCGCCGUUGUAAGCUCGUUUGUACUGUUGUUUGCUGCCAGUGAUAUCUCUAUUCAAAAAUUUGUUAUCUUAUUUGAUCAAACUUACCAAAGGAAAUGGACUUUUUAGCCCCAAAAAGCUGCCUCAAGAGCGUUUUACACAAGGAAGAUCAACAUAAAAAAAAAAAAAAAAAGCUUUUAAAAACGAAAAAAAAGAGCUCGAAUUUAAAGCUUUCGACCUCUUGAAAUUCAAAUAAUAGAAUAGCUCGGUUACAGAAAUGAACAAGCGACAAUUUAUACACUGAGUGUGGAUUUUACCCCCUCAAGCAUCUACCAUUACGGCUGCAUAGGGGGCGCGUAGCAAAAUAUCAUUUGUUGAAUGUAACUUAAGCCUCUUGGUUGUUGUAUACCACACAUAUUAAAUUAAAUUUAAAUUUUAGAGUAUCUACAUUUCAGAUGUUGAAUUUGUAGAAAUCAAAUAAGAGCCCAUUCUCCAAUAUUUUCCUUUAAGAGUGAAAGAUGACGUAUUAUUUUGAAUUUGAAACCACAGAUAUCAACUACCAGUACGCAAGGCAUAAUUAGUUCUAACAUUAAUUUUUGAAAUUACUUAUGCAUACAUAUUGUUUUAUUUAUACAUAAAACAAAUCACAUACAUAAGUUAUUUAAUACCGUAAAUCAAUGGUAGGCGGUGUACAAAUAUAGGUUUACACUAUGUUCAUGCAAUGGUGUUCUCACUCGGCCACUGCAACAUUAUUUUUCUACAAAAAGUAAAGACUACUCUAAAUGGGUCCCUCAACUUUAACUUUUUCCAGUUAAAACUUCUUCAUUCACUCAUAGCAAAUAAAACUAGAAUAGCUAAUGCAAUUAUUAAAUUUAAUUAGCUUUUUAAUUAAAAUAAUUAGAGUAAUUUAAUUUUGAAAAUAUUAAAAGUAAGGAAAAUGUUAACAAAAAAGUGAUAAAUUCUGGAAGCAAAUUCAAAUUACCUAUAUUUGAGGGCUUCCAUAUGUUUAUAUUUUCAUAUAAUUAAAAUUUAUUUUGAUAAGUGCAGCUUAUAGAAUUUUAAUAAGGGAAAACUUCACUUUAUCACUUUAGUACCCUAUGGUUUAAAGUGUAACAUAAUUAAAUUGAUAAAGUGAUACACUUUAAACAACAGGGUACUAAAGUAAUAAAGUAAGAAAUCACAUGGUACUAACUUGAUUCACUUUAAACCACGGAAUACUAAAAUGAAAAAGUGCGAAAUCACAAAAAUUUUUUUAAAAGUUUUCCCUUUUAAUAAUUAUGUAUAAAAAAGUAUUAAUUUAGAAAAUUAUCAAUUACUCUUCAAAUGGCUCCGAAAUCAAUAAUCAAUAAUAUAAAAGAAUACGUGGUUUACAUAUUAUUUUUUAUAAGAAGUAUAGUAAUUAAUGAUUUUUGAUAUGUAGCCCUUGUAAAUAUUAUAUGCCACAUUUAACAAACUAAAUUUUAAAGAUAAAUAAGCUUUCAAAUAUAAUAUUAGUCUAUCUUCUGUGCUUAUAAUUUUUAUCACGGGAUGAUUUGGUGGAACCAGAUAAUAAGCAAAAAAACUAAGAUUAAAAAAAACUAAAUACAAAAAUUUAUUGAAGGUUUACAUAUAUAAAAACCUCGUCUAAUUAUUACGUAAUAAUAAUUACUAUCAUAGUUUACCUAUGUGAUUACCCAAAUAUAAAACACUCACAGCAAAUCACGGGCCAUUUCACUUCAAGCAUAGUAUGGUAAACAACAAUAUAUAUGAGAUUGUAGAAAGAAGAGAAAUUUCAUAAGCCAAAUAUAUUAAAUAGGGAAGUAUAUAGCAUUCUCAUGAUGCAAACAUAACAGCAGCACACCUAAUAAAGCAGCAAAAGAAAUGGAAAACCGAGUACAGGAGGCACUUCCGUCUCAAGCCACAGGAAAAAGAAGAAAAAUAGAGAGGAAAAGGUACUUGCAAUUGAUAAAUCUGCAAGCUGGAACAUUUAAAAACGAACCGGAGCAGCAGAACACGCCCAUAAAUAAUAAGCUACUACUGCUCAUCAUCGGCCUUGGUUGCCUCUUUGAUAUCAUCAACCCCAUCAUCCUGUAUACGAAGCACGAAAUGAAAAACCAGAACAGUAACUAAAGUGCGCAACAAAGAGUGAUAAUUGAGAAGGCAAGUAUUCUGUUCGUAGGGUGUAUAAAGACCUGCAUAUCCGAAGUCCACAAGGUGAGGUUGUCGCGAAGAAGCUGCAUUAUUAGGGUGCUAUCCUUGUAUGACUCCUCUCCAAGAGAAUCUAGCUCGGCAAUCGCUUCGUCGAAAGCCUACCAACAACUAGUGGUGAGUGCACUGAAUAAUUAUAGCGCCGACACUAUAUCUUAAAACAGAAGUAUCGAGUGACACGAGAAAAAGGUUAUACUAAGAAUGAUCUGUGCAAUCACGGGAUAUAAACCCACUGUGGAUUGUAGAUUCAUACAAAUGUACCCAAAAACAAGGAAUUGAAAUGACCAGUAAACGAACAGCAUAAUAAGGUGCAACGAAACUGUGAAGUACGAACUUACAUAGCAACAAAUUUUGUAACUUAAGGAACUCACACUGGUCGACAAUGUGCUUCGCCAAUAGAAAAUUUACAUCUCUUUACGAAUCUCUGAUUAAUCGAGAACAGCCUAAGCAUAAAGUACAGAUUUUAAAGCCAGCAGGUGGGGAAAAAGAUAAGUGUAGGAACAAGAAGGUGGAUAGCUCAGCAUGGUAGCAUUAUAUACAAAGUGAUAAACAAGAUUAACAGUAAAACUCUUCUAGCUUGUCUCUUGAAUUAAAAUCCCAUGCAUAAUAACCCCUCAAUUAGUAAUCUAAUAUCUCUAUGAAGUGAAAACUACAAGAUGUCAAGAUAGAGAUUCCUAGUACUUCAGAAAGAGAUGGACCGAAACAAAUGAAAUUACAUCCCUCAAUCCUCUCAUUUGCUUAGAGACAUUCAUAAAUUAGAGUUGAUUUUUCAUUUGCCCCCGAAAAAAAAUCAUUGAUCAAACUCUAUGAAUUUUUGUCAUCAUCAGAUAAUGCUCUACUUCUAGCAGAUGAACAACAAUCACAAAACCCUAGAAUCCAUUUCUUAGCGACAUAAAUAUACAAUCAGAGAAACUCAGAACUCUCGAUCUGCUCACCUGCUUUGCGAGAGAGCAAGCUUUGUCCGGCGAAUUGAGGAUCUCGUAGUAAAACACCGAGAAAUUAAGCGCCAGCCCCAGCCGGAUCGGGUGCGUCGGCGCCAACUCCGCCGACGCUAUGUCCUGUCACAAAUCAAUCAAAACUUGUUGAAUCAAACUCGGAAACCCUAACCGUAACCCUAAGAUCGGAAGGGAUGGGGAGAGAUGGGGGACCUGCGCGGCCUUGUACGCGGCGAGGGUGUUCUCGGCGGCGUCCUUGCGCUCGGGGCCGGUCUUGAACUCGGCGAGGUAGCGGUGGUAGUCGCCCUUCAUCUUGAGGUAGAAGACCUUGGAGUCGGCGGAGGCGGCGGAGGGGACGAGGCGGGAGUCGAGGAGGGCGAGGAUGCCGCCGCAGAUGGAGGCGAGCUCGGCCUCGACGCGGCAGCGGUAGGCGCGGAUCGCGGCGGCGUGGUCGGGGUUGCCGCGCCCCUCCUCCUUGGCCUCGAUGGAGGAGACGAUGCGCCACGAGGCCCGCCGCGCGCCGAUGACGUUCUUGUAGGCCACGGAGAGGAGGUUGCGCUCCUCCGCCGUGAGCUCCUCCGCGUCGCCCUUCGCCGCCGCCACCUUCUCCAUGAACUCCACCAUCUCCUCGUACCGCUCCGCUUGCUCCGCCAGCUUCGCCAGGUACACGUUCUCCUCCCUGCUCGCCGCCGCCGCCGCCGCCGCCGCCAUGGACGCCGCCGUGGAUGGUGCUCGCGAACGCCGCGAAAGGGAAAGGCAAAGGGAAAGGGAAAGGGAAAAAAGGUUAAUUUGGUGGGAGCGUAUUGAGAAAAGGUGAAGGCGAGAAAAGGAACCGAGAAUAUUAUACAGGAGUAAAAAGCGAACGAAAACGAGGAAGUGGGUGUAAAAUAAGCACGAGUAUUUAUCCUUCAAAAAUAUCCAUCCUCAAAUAAAUUCAUCUAAAAAUUUAAAAUUUUUCCAAUAAAUUCUCAAAAUAGAGAAAUAUAUAUAUAAGAAAAACUUUUUAAGGGACAAUUUUCUCUUUUAUUCAAUAGUUUCUCAAAUUAAUUUAAUUGCUAUCUCCAGCGGGAUGUGGUUGGAGUCCUCUUCUUAUUUCCCAUUCAGUUUUGUAGGAAACUUGGUUAAAUUGUUUGUGAGAAAAUCCUCCCCGUAAUGAUUGCCAAUCAACAAGCCCAUAUCUAUAACUAUUAUUAUAUAAUCAAAUUUCAGCGACAAAAAUCAUAAACGAGUAUUUGGGAACGAAAAUAAUGUACUCUAAUUUUAGAUUUUUUUAAUUUUUUUCUCCUUUUGUACUUUUGUUGAAGUGCAAGUUGUUUAGAUAGUUAUGUUCUUCUUCAAACAGUAAGACCUAAACUGGGCUAUAGAGAGCUCCAACACUGGGCCAUUUACAGAUUUACUUGUAAUACGAAAAAUUGGUACGUAGGCUACAGUGGAUGAAAGGGCCACAUUUUGCUUUAACUGCGUUGGAUGUUUAAAAGUUGAGGCGCCUUUUAGAAACGUCUUUGUUCUAAAGCCCAUAGAAUGUGCUUCGCUAACUCGUGUUGGUUACCUAUGACUCCACUUAAGAUCGAAACCCAAACUUCUCAAAACAGCGCAAGUGACUUUAAUUUAUCCUAGACCAAAAUUAAUUAUAAAAAAAAAGUAAAACAAAGAAAUAACUAAUCUUUCACACUUCUAUCCUGCACCUCCUUCACUUCCAAUCAAACAAGUAUGAGAACUGAAAAAAUUUUAGUUUCACAAGCUAUAAAACACACAACAAAAAAAAAAAACCUUUAUCUAAAUCCUAAUUCAUCCGAACUUUGAUCAAGUCAGUUAAGGAAGCUUUUAAUCUAAUCGGGCACAUUAGAGCCGACUAAUUUAUGCUACAUAUUACUCAUAGCGAUCAUGAUCACUUGUUCCGUCCAAUUGACAAAGCGUGCAACUUUUUUUUUUUUCCCUAUGUUUCAAUGUAUUCUAAUUCGAAUGUAUUUGACCUGACCUACAAUAUCAUCAUCUUCAAUGUCAAAAGCAGGUUUAUUUUUUAUGAUGUGUUAGUAACAACAAUGGUGCACUUUUUUAAUUAUCAUUUCGAAGGGCCUGCAUAUUAUUGUCAGCAAAGUGCAUUUUCGAAUAUAAAGAGAAAAAAUAGAACCAAAUCCAUAGAAAACAAAACAAAACAAAAAAUUCAAAUUCAAACAUUUCAAUAUGGAGAAGAAACCGUCAAUUAUAUUAUUAUUAUUAUUAUUAUUAUAUAUUGUUUUUCUAGAAUUUUAAAGUAACUUUGCAAGUACUGUACCUGGUCGACGCCUUGGUUGACCAAUCGCCGAGUAAUUUUUUUCGCACCACAAAUCCAGCUUCUGAAAAGUCAACGCCCGCAUUAUCCACGUUUCGUUGUGAUAAAGUUGAUUCGGCGUGUAAAUUUCUCCCCCGCCACGUCACCAAUUCGACCCGGUCUAGUGUGUACAUGCACAAUAGACCCAGGCACGCCUUACGGCGGUUCAGCGCCAAAUCAAGGGGCGCAGAACAAAUCACAGCCGUUCGAUCAGCGUGAUCGUUACGAUAUCAUACGGGCCCACCUUAUUGGCCCGUAUUUUGACAUAGGCGGUGCCCCAAAUCGUAGGAGACAAGUGGGGGAGAGUGACAUGAUGCCAAUCCAGUGGGCCCACAAUCCGAGAUGGGUGGGCCCACAGUGGGUCUGUUUCACUCAAAUUACGUAAAGAGGUGCAGAAAUAUUUUCAGCCGUAAAUACUUACUUUUUGUUGUUUAAUUCUUCAUAAAUUAAAUUAGAUCGUAACACUACUUUUCUUCGCUUUUGGAAAUAGAAUGAGAUAGAAAAAAUUAUAAUAAAUUAAUUGCUAUAGCAAUUUUUUCCUCCAUUUUUUUAUGUGUUUGUAAAAGUUUUUGAUAAAAUAAAUCAAAGAAAUAGAAUAAUUAUAUUUCAAGUCAUAUACUUCCUAUUAAAGAUUAGAAAAUAAUUUUUAUCUGAAUUUGAAUUCAACUAAAAGCCUUUUUCAACUUGAAAAUCAGCUAUGGGCAAACAAUCAGGCCCUUAGCUCUUAUUCUUGAACUGUGUUACUAAGCAAGUAAUAUAUAUAUUUUUUUUUCUAUCACGAAAUUAUUCUAUUGUUCUAAAUUAGUCCCCUAAAACUAGAGAUGGUUUAUCUUGUCCGUAUGUGCCUAGACCUCAAGACUCACUAAAUUUCUACUAUUUAAUCUAUGAAGUUGGAAGUUAUGGGUCCAAAUUUAAUCUCCACUCGAGAAAUCAAAUCCCGACCUUAAAAAGACCAGUUAUCUGAAUAAUAACCACUAGACCAUUGGAGUGAUUGUAUUGAUUUUACCGGUCGAUGAUAGGCUCACGAUAGCAUAUUGGCAGAGAGAAUGAGAGAGGAGGAAGCCUACCAACAGCUACACUGCAUUAUUUAUGUCCAAACAAUCACACUUUUUUUUUAAAAAAAAAUACAAUAAAAAUAUCUUUCUAAAAAUUAUAAUACAAUAAAUGAAUUUCAGAAAAGAAAAUUACAUAAAUAAAAAUACCACAUUAAUUUUAGACUUUUUCAGAAAGAGAGGGCGCCGAUUUCAACUCCUCAGCUGGGACGCUUUUGGAAUUGGACCCAACAACGGUUUCUCUUCACACCAGGUUUGCUUUUCUCUUAAAUAGAGGUCAAGUAAUGUUGUUCGAAUGCGUCCAACCUACGUGUAUUUGGCUCUAGAGCAAGGAAACAAGAAAAUUUGAAUGAGAAGCGCCUCACUUUUUAUCACUGAACCUCUUCUAAAUUUACUGUCUAAUAUAGUAUUGAUAUUGUACGGUCAUUGAACCAUCUUAACAAGAUCUUAUUGAGAAGCUAGCUCUUCAAUAAGGUCGCGCUGCAUAGUAAUAAACUUUUAAUCUGAAUUGGUAUUCGAAACUUGGUGCUGAUGCUUUCGUAUAAUUCGAAUAUUAGAAGUAUAUGACUAGAAACUUCACCGUGUUUAUAAAAUUGCGAUCACUCGAAGUAUCUCUAUUAAUAGAUUUUAACUCUUAUUCACCACUUCAGCCGGUGGGUUUGUUGUUUUGUUUCAAUCAAUCGAGAAGCUCGCUUCGAAUGCUUCAGUAGACCUGACAAAUUCAAUUUGUACUUGUAGAUACUUAUGGAUUACAUGCAAAAUUUGCGCGUAUAGAUACUAUUUUUUUAUACAAAAAGAAAUUGCUAGUAAAAUAGUCAAAUACCCGUUAAAUUAUGGAUAACUUGCGGAUACCAAUGAAUAGCGCAUAUUUAAUUUUUUUAAAAAAAUAAAAAAUGAAAAAAGUAAAUGCUCAAGUUGUUUUACCCGUCCCUACAAUCCUAACACUAAUUUUUUCUAGUGUCAUUUUUUUAUUAUCUAUUGUACGCUGCGAUGUUUUAAACAAUAAAUUAGUUUUUGUUUUUUUAAUAAUAAAUAAUAAUAUAUAUGUCAAUGUCCGAAAAGUAUAAAAAUAGAAAGAAAAAAAAAAAAAAAAAACUUUGUGAGAAACUCGUAUUCCUGACCGCUUAUCCACGGACUGGUAUGGAUAAAAAUCAUGAAUAAUCAAAAAUUACGGAUAAAUUUUAUCUGUAUUUGUAUAAUCUAUAAAUGUAAUGAUCCGCCCACAAAUUGUCCAAUCUUUCGAAUUUUCAGCCAUAUGCUUGAGCCUUAAAAAGAAAAAAAAGGAAAAAAAGAAAAAGAAAAAGUUAGUUUGAGCUUACCAUCUUUCCUGAAUGGUCAUAAAUAAGGUUAAAGCACAGCGAGAGAUAAAAGACAAAACACACGGGUGAAACCCUGCGCGCGCGGAUGCCCUGAUCCCCGUACAUAAAUUUAACAUUUGGUCACGAACAGUGUUUACGUGACCAUGUCCAUAUAUCAACCCAGUAUGAAUGGAACAGGGGGUUUGAGGAAUAUAAGCCCCUGGUAACUAAAGCUGGUACGUGCGAGCCCAUGGUUUCCCUACACUGGUAACUGGUAAACCCUCUCUUAUUUGGAGUACUACGUACAACUUCGAAAAACAUAUCACAUAUACCUAAUUAUAUAUACAAACAUGCACAAAAACAAACUUAUUUUAGGUUACUCGAGAUUGCAUAUUAUUUAUGCUAAACAAACGCCUAACCACGCCUUUUCGCUCCUCAACGGAGAUGAGCAAAAUACAGAGACUGUACAACGCAUCCAGUAGCAUCUUCUCCGCGGAAAGAGGGGGUCUGAACCCUACCUUCAAUCAAAUUAGAUGGCUACAAGAUCUACUUGGUAUAUAUAUAUAUAUAUUUCUCUCUCUAUCAUGGAUCUUUAUCUAUUUGAUUUGAAGAGCUUAAUUACAUAUUAUUGUAGUGUUCGUAAACUGUCCUUUUUUAUGUUUUUUCUUUUUCAAUUUUAGAUGCAAUGGAACCUGCGGACGUAGGAAUUGAUGGAUCUAGUGAUUACGAAAACAAGUCUCAGGAUGGGCUCAUCUUUGGACAAGCUAUAGCCCAAAUCACGUACAUACAUAUUCACGAGUCUGAUCAUUUCUCCGUACGUUUCAACGUAUCUUAGCUUGUAUAAUGUCGUUCUCUAAAACGUUCAUCGUUUUUUCAAAGCUAAGUUUGUGGUAUAAAAGUAUGUUAUCUCUUAAUAAAUAUUCUCUAUAUAUCUAUCUUAUUAAGAUUAAUCAUGCUUACAUGUAUAUAUAUACAUGCUUGUUAAGUUUAAUUUGAUUAGAUUGAAAUUAAUGCUAGUUUCGGGUUUGGCAGAUCGGGGUUUUCUGCUUCCCGGCCGGAGCGAAAAUUCCUUUACAUGAUCAUCCACGAAUGGUGGUCCUUAGCAAAGUGUUAUACGGUUCUGCAAGGGUGAAGUCCUAUGACUGGGUCACCACUCCAAAAUCCAAACCAAAUAUGAGUAAGCAAGUUUCUUUCAUUAUUCUUCUUCUUCUUCUUCUUCUUCUUCUUUUUCUCAAAGGUUUUAGGAACCCAUAAAACAAUUUCAUUAAAAAAGAGAGAAGAGUACGGAGCAUAAAAUUAUGGGAUAUUACGGACAAUGGAUUCGGUUCUUCAGAAAAAAGGGAUCAAUAAAACCAUUAAUUAGAUAGAAAGAUUGACUUCCAGUUUAACAAUGGGCAGAGGUCUACUCGCAGAAGAUUCUAAGAAAGGUGGUGUAUUUAUGACUAACAAUGCUCAAGCACAUGCAACUAAAUAUGUCCUCGUAUAUGCCUUUUAUUAAUUUAAGACUUAAUAUCAAGUACUAUAGAUAUUAAAAACUGUGGACUUAUACCAACCACACUCAGCGUAGUUGAAUAAGAGUUUGAUAAUUGGUAUGUAAGGUCUCAGGUUUAAAGUGUAGUUACUUUAAAUUUUUGGUUAAGUUCAUUUUUAAAAGAAAUCAUGAACAACACGGAUAUUUUGCUACCUUUCUCUCUCUAGAUCUCUCUCUCAAAAAAAAAGGUAGGCUUAUAUAAAGACUUUUUACCAAGUAAAAAACGCUAGAAAUUUUAAUGGAAGUGUCUUUUACUGAAUAUAAGUGGUUUGAUUCAAGUUUAUGGACUAAUUAAGGGUCAGCUUAAUAAGUUGGUCUUAGGGUGGCUUAAAUGGUUGGUUUGCUCAUUUGUUUGUCAAAGUCAACGUGAUGCCAAGAUUAAUGAAGUUUUAGCUAUUUUUCCAGAGACAAUGUGGAAAUAAGUGUUUGCAUAUUAAUUGAGACAAAGUAAAAUCUUUUUAUUUAUUAAUAAAACAAUGGAGGAAAUUAGCAAAUAACAAUCAAUCUGAUGUAAUCUAAUUGAUGCGGAGUCGCGCUCUUUAGCUGAAACGACCAGGUAUUAAGCUUCAAAUUAAUAAAGUUCCUACAAACUUUAGAAAAGUCUUUGUUUCCUCUAUAUUUAGGGAUAUAUGCAUAAAAAGCACAAUGCUUUACAAAAUUUUAUAAUGGUCAAAGAGAUAGAUCUAACAGUAAGAAGCUUACAAAACACCAAAUGUUUAGUGCUAUAUAUAUAUUGAUAAUAUUGUUGUCGGAUUCUAUAUAUAAAACUAAGCUAGAAUACUAUUAAUAGCACCAAGUCAUUAGUACUAUUAAAUUUUCGGUUCUUGGAUGAAGGGAUGUCCGGUUAGGAUGAUUGGCUGAAUAAUAUGAUCUAAUAUGUGGAAAUAAUCCAAGGGGUAGAUCUAACGGUGAGAAACUAAUUAACAAGCACCAAAUGCUUGGUGCUAUUGAUAGUAUUAUAGAUGGUCUCUCUCUCUCUAUAUAUAGAGAGAUCUCUCUUUAUAUAUAUAGAGAGAAGGGCUGCUGUGCUCAUUCGUGCUCCUAAGCCAUUUUGGAUGAUUAAGCUUUCGAAUCGAUCGAUGAUCGGCUCCGUUAGACUUGAUCUAGCAUAUUUGAAGUAUUUAGAAAAUAAAUUUUACUGUUUUUUUUAUAUUAUUUACCUAACGAUCGAAAGGGUUCAAAAUCAAUGGCCGAAAAAAAAAUCUUACAAAAAGUGGUGAUAUAAUACUAAAAUUUUGAUCAGAGAUAUUGAUUUUGCUGUAAAUAACAUAAAAAUUUUUUUAUCAAAAUUUUAUAUGAUUUGAAUACUUAUAUGUCGUUAAACUUUAAAACGGCAAGUAUUAACUAUUAAAAAUUAUUAAUUUUGAAUCUUUUCAAUCAUUAGGUAAAUAAUAUCGCAAAAUCGUAAAAUUUAUUUUUUAGAUACUUAAAAUACGUUAAAUCAAGUCUAACAGAGCUGAUCGUCGGUUCGAAAGUUUAAUCAUCGAAAAAUGACUUAGAAGCACGGAGGCCUCCGCAUUCCUAAGAGCACAGAGACCUCUGCGUUCCUAAGAGCACAACAGCUCUACUCUCUCUCUCUCUUUAUAUAUAUAUAUAUAUAUAGUUAACUGCCAACUGAAUUUGAAUCUGUAUGUAGUAAACAAAUAAUAUUGCUGUCAGUAACAUCAGCGGUUAUAUUUCUGUGACGAGCUUUACCAAUUUGAUCACUCUUGAAAGGUGGGCUUGCGAAAGUAGUGGCGGAGAACCAGCUCCUACAAGCCCCAUGCAAGGCUUCAGUAUUAUUCCCGAGGAGUGGCGGAAACAUCCACUCCUUCACCGCCGUAACUCCCUGCGCCAUUUUGGACGUGCUGGCUCCGCCGUACUCAGAAGAGCUAGGAAGACCGUCGACCUACUUCUCCGACAUUCCCAUCGCUUCUGUCCCAGGUGAUCAUUGGAUUUUUUACAUACAUACUAGUAGGAAGCUAAAAGAUUAAUCGGGUACCGAAAAUUGUUAUAUAUGCUCAUGACAUUGUAAUGCAAUUUGCGAAUAGAAUGAGUUUUGAUCAUAAUUAAGUGGCAAUGGAGGUUUAAGACCACCUUUGGGUCUCAAACUUGUGAACAUGCAAGUAAAAUGCUGCAACCAUGCAUCUUGUCAUUUCCUUUCCUUUUCUUUUCUUUUCUUUUAAUUUCGAAGAUUAACUAAUUACACGCUUGUAAUAUUAUCGUUUAGGGUUUGCAAUACUCGAGAAGAUAGAGAUGCCGGAUGAUUUAAAUGUGGCUGGAGCACCAUACGUCGGACCUGAGCUCAGCGUGGACAUCGACUUUUGUUGAUCUUUUUUUUCUUUUGUGUGAUCUUGUUGUGACGACUAUAUAUAUAUAUCUAUCAUGAUCGUUGAUCUUCUUUGUACAUUUUUGUAUAUGUAAUCUACUAUACGUGAGGGGAUGGUUUUGUAUUCAAUCCAAUCGUGCAUGUGAAAAACUAGCUAAUAUAUUAAGCUAAUUCACGAAGCUAUGUAGUGUAGGUGGGCGAGGAAUUCAAUAUGAACUAAUUUAACACUUGACAGGAAAAAAAAAAAAAACCUAAUUUAACCAGAUCUGACAAAGAAAACGGACAAGACAGCCUAUGUAUGCACCAUUCACGUGACAAGGCAGGAUGAAUUAAUGUGAGCAGGUGAUGUAACAUGCAUGUGAUUUGAUGGGUAUGGUGAGAUGACACCAACUCUGUUCUCAUCUAAAUUGUUUUUUGCUUUAUAAUAUGUCCAAACUUUCGAGGGACUAAUUUGAGAAAAAAAAAGAAAGAAAAAUCCCACUAGCAACGGCAUUCUAAACACGGUUAAUUAACGCACGAAUGUAGCCCGGCCCACUAGGGUUUGUAUUAACAGGGCCCAAAUCGUGUCGCCCAUGCGAGGAGGAGAGGGCUCGACGGGGCGAAGCAAAACCCUCCGAUCGAAAACCCCCGCAGAAGCCGAAACGCAGUUACGCAGCCCUCUCCCCUGAGAUCUGCGGCGGCGCCACCGCCACCGCCACCGCGGUAGCGAUUUGCGGAGAAGCGGGCUUCGGGGAUGGGCGGUGGGCAGAAGCGCGGCCGCACGCAGCGGCGGCACUUCAAGCAGAGCCGCGAGAACGUGUGGAAGCUCAACCCCAAGAAGACCCGCCCCGACGCCGACGAACCCGACGCCGACGCCAAAGCCAACGCCAACCCCAAGUGGGAGCCCUUCGCCACCCAAAACCCCGGCUUCGACGAGUACUACAAGGUGCUUUUCCUCUCCACACUUCCACGAGAUCGAUUCUUGGUUUGGCGUGGAUUUGUUUUGAUGAUUGGGAUCUUAUACGCGGUGCGUAGUUUGUUUCGUUUUAAUUGCGAGUUCUUGGAGGAAAAGGUGAAUUUUUUGGAUCAUUAAUCUUUGGCGCCAUCGCUAUGGGGAAUCCCCUCCUCCCUUUUUUUGAUCUGUGAAUUCAUGUUUAUGCUUGCGCUCUAUGAUGUAUAACACAAAUAGGAUUUGCUUCACAUGUAUGGAUACACAAAAAAAAAAACGUACAUAUACAUGCUUGGUGUCAGCAGUAGUUGUAUGCACACAGGACAUGCCGUUAAUGAGCAAGAUCUCUUCUUGGCGAAUGUCUAAUGAGCAUGCUACAAUUACUUGAGCUGUAAGCGGAUUUUGAUCUGAUAUGAAGAAGUAUCUGACCUUUACAUAUGAGGUAACCGAUGUGCAUGAAGAUGUGGUAUCCGAUAAGAACAAGCCUGUGGUAUUAAACUAUCUGAGCAUCAUAGCUUGUGCAUGCCUAGUUCUUGAAGGAUUAGCUUUGUUUUUGGUUUUUUUUUUAAAUGAUUAAGCGAUGGCAAAGGGCUGAGGGUCAGUGUUGCAUGGUUGGAAUAGGGGAUUUUACAAGUUGUUUUGUGUGGAAGGUAUGGUUUUUGUACAACGUUUGUGUUGCUAGACCAUAUGGUGUAAGGUUAGAGACGGGAUCAUAUCUGGAGGGUUGAUCUGUUGAUAUUAAGAUUUCUCUCUACCUAACUUGCGCUUUGUAUUGUAUAGGUAAUGAUUUGGUAGAAUUGUUCUGUAAUUGCUGACGUUGCUAUCUCAAAAUAUAUCUCUAGGAGCAAGGCAUUGUUCCUGAAGAUGAAUGGGAUGAUUUCAUUUCUUUGCUCCGAAAGCCUCUGCCUGCAGCAUUUAGAAUCAAUGCAAGGUAAUUCUGGAUUGUACUCACAAAAGGGUUGCUGUCAUGCCAUAUAAAUUUGAUAUCAAAUGUACCAUAUAUGUAGCAGAUUUACAAUUCUCUAGAUUUGUUCAGAAUUAUGUCAUUUUCUGCUUGAAAUAUCUUGCAGUCGUUCAUAAUUUUUAUUUGACUAUUGUAAGACCAUAGUUAGUUGUUCAGUUAAAAAAAAAAACCUGAAUUCUGUUAAUUGAAGGAUGAUAAUACUUGCUGCUAGUAAGGGCUUGUAGAGUUGUUGAUUCUUCUAAAUUUAAUUAAUUCAAAAGAUAAGCAUCAUUGUCACACUAGCUGCAGUUUCUAGUUUUCUCAUAGUUUUGCCUCUGAGGGCUCUUUAUUCCUUGUAUGUUUAGUUUGUUUUAAUGACGACCUGUCAUGUAUCAAGUAAGAUUCCGUUUGGUGCAAUUGAUACCAUACUAGAAGUUGAAGAUCAAAGUGAAAUUUGCUAUGCUGCCGUAUCUGCAGAUUAGGUGAUAAAUUCAUCAGAUGAAAAUUAUGUGUAGCUUGCUGUCUUAUAACUCAAUCUGACAAGUUUUAUACAAUGUGUCUAUCAAUAGCUGCUUGUUUAGUUCCUUAGACCUUCGUGUUUGGUGCUACAUUUGCAAAAUAACUAAUAUCAACUCCUCAUUUUACAGUGGCCAAUUUUUUCAGGACAUUCGAUCACAGUUGGAAAAUGACUUCAUGAAAUCACUGCAGGCUGAGGUUCCAUUUAAAUAUUGCUUGAUAAAUUAUUAGUAUUUACGUGCUCUUUUCUAACUUUCAGCCAUUCUAAUUGUUUACAGGUAACAGAUGAUUAUGAAGCGGAAGCUAUUAGACCAUUGUCAUGGUAUCCAGGGAACAUUGCAUGGCAUUUGAACUUUUCUCGUAUGCAACUUAGGAAGAACCAGGCACUUGAGAGGUAGUUGUUAUUAAGUAGACUAUAUUUAUGCCAAUUGAAGUAUAGUACCAUGAAAGGAAUUUACAAGAUUUCUUUUAAUGCUUCAUUUGGACGAUAUCUUUUAGUUGUACUGGUCUCUAUUCAUUUGGACUAAGAUUUUCUUACAUUGUGCUGAUACUUUGUAAGCAUCAAUUUUGGGAUGAUUAUUUUUUGCAUCAUUCUUGUGAAUGUGAAAUUUUAUUGUAAAUUGGCUAUUGUCUAUUUCGUUAGUCCUGUUUAAUCAUGCUGCCUAAUGGCGAAUUCCAGGUUCCAUGAGUUUUUAAAGCAAGAGAAUGAGAUUGGGAACAUAACAAGGCAAGAGGCUGUCAGCAUGGUGGGCAUCUUCAAAUGGAUCUGUUCAAGAAGCUAUUAUAUUUUUAGUAUUCCGUAGUACUUUGUUGUAGAGCUUAUAGUCAUUUUAAAAUGUUUGCUACAGGUUCCUCCACUCUUCCUUGAUGUACUACCGGAUCACCACAUUCUUGACAGUAUGUUCUAUCUCUAUUCAUCAGAUAAUUGAUGUGCAUUAUUUGCUUUUUCAUCAUUUACUUGUUAUAGACCAUCAUCUUUUCUUUUUUUUUUUUGGAUGUCGUUAUAGUGUCACAUUACAUGCAUAUAUUGGGUUAGGACUUAGGAGUUCUAUGCCAUGCCCAAUGCUAGGAUUGUCAUCUAUGAGUAUAGGUCGUACUAUUAUUAUGAAUAAUUUAUAUUUAUUUUUCUCUGCAGUGUGUGCUGCUCCAGGAUCUAAAACUUUCCAGUUGCUUGAAAUUAUGCACCAAUCAAUAGGACCCGGAGUACUUCCCAAUGGGCUGGUACUUUCCUUUAAGCUUUGAAUUUCCAAGUCGUUUCUUUAUGGUUAAGUGCAUAUAAUUCCCGGGAUAUAUCAUAAUUUGUUUCUUAUUUUUCUCAUUAAUCAAAAUCUACUGAUGAAAAUUUGAUUGAUUUAUUAGUAUCUUACACCCUAGAGAAGGGAAUAAUAUAGUAAGUUUUAUAGAUCUAGGGGGUUGUCCAUUGGGGCUUGAUUGCUGAAUCUGUUGAAGUGAAAAUUGCCAUUUAUCCAAAGGGGUUAUUUGCAUUUUAACCUUUCUGUAUUGGAUGGUCUGAUCAAGUGAGAGUCUUAAGGAUUUUGAAUUACGUAUCCCUGUGGUGAUGUGUUUUGCUUGGUGAUAUGUUUUGCUUUGAAUGUUUCUUUAAUUGACAAUCAAGGUGAUAGCUAAUGACGUCGAUGUUCAAAGAUGUAAUCUCCUCAUCCAUCAAACAAAGAGGAUGUCCACUGCCAACUUGAUAGUAACAAAUCAUGAAGCCCAACAUUUUCCCAGUUGUUCUUUGAAAAAGGGUCAAGGAGUUGCUUCUGAAGGGCAGGAGGAGCAUGGAAUACAUACAUUAGAGUUUGACCGUGUUUUAUGUGAUGUUCCUUGUAGUGGUGAUGGCACCCUGCGCAAGGCUCCUGAUAUCUGGAGAAAAUGGUAAUACAUAUUAGUACUCAACUUCCCUUUGCAUUUGAUUUCAUUGGUGCUCCUUGCAGUUUUCUUGAUAAAUGAAAGUUAUUUUCAGGAAUGCAGGCAUGGGAAAUGGUCUUCAUCGUCUCCAAGUGGAGAUUGCUAUGCGUGGUAACUAUAGAACCUCGAGCAGUUUAUAUGAGAUCUAUUUGCAUAUGUACUUCUGCAGGGUUAUCCACUUACAUAUAUUUUCAAAAUCAUGUAUUUUCAUGUCUUAACUUGAAACUUCUGAAAUUGUUGAUACACAUGUAAAAAUCAAGAGAAGCAGAGUUGUUCUAUGUUGAAGAAGACACUCCAUCUUUAUUAAAAUCUAUGACGUAAAUCAUAUUGUUUUCUACUGGGAAACUUUUGUGAAGCAGCUAGCCAUAGUUACAUUGUAGGCUCAUGCCACUACAAGUGUUUCCAUUGCAGGUUUAGCUUUGCUUAAAGUGGGUGGAAGGAUGGUCUACUCUACCUGUUCACUGAACCCAGUUGAAAAUGAAGCUGUUGUUGCUGAGGUUAAUUUGAAAUCUGCUUGAAAUAUUAUACUAUAGGAACAUUUCUCAUUACAUGUUUUACUUGUACUUUCAAAUCACUUGCUCUGUAUCAUGUUUGAAAUUCAGUAAAUUAAAUAUUUGAUAGUCUACUUCUAUGUUGUCCGAAAAGCUUAAAUAUAUAAUACCUAGGAUUUGCUUGCAUGAUUCUUGCACUGUGUGCUUAGAUCUAGCUUUUCACUCUAUAUGAACUAUGAUACUUAGGAUUUAUGUUUACCCUCACUUUUGAUUCUUCAGAACAUGGAGUUGUGCAUUUGUUAUUUAUGGCUUAUAUACAUAUUUUGAUAUUUACUUCUUGAAGAUUGACCCCCAUUUCUAUAUCAUUCUUAUAGUUGAAUAUAACAAUUUAGUCCGGAAUUUCCUUUUUAGAUAACAAUUUGGCCCUUCUAUUAGGACACUGUCUGAAAAAUGCAUCAUGGAAGUGCCACCAACAGACUUUGUUUGGUUAAGUAUAAAAUUCGAGGAUAAAAUUGAUAUUGGGGUGAAAUUUCAGGGACUAAAUGUUAAAGUUAAAACUUUGAGGAUGAAAUUGAAAUGGGGUGUCAAACUAAAUUGAAACUCUAAGGACAAUGUUAAUGUUCAGCUCAAACUUCAGGUACUAAAUUUGUAAAUUCUCCAUUGUUAUUCAGUGAUAUUGAUGUGCUUAUUUGGCAUCUUGUUUUCUUUCCCCACAAUUCUACCGUCCUAGUAUCCUCAAACUAUCGAUGUUAUUCGAGUUGCCUCAUUAUAAUAAUAAAAUUUUUUAAAAGCUGUUGGGUUUGAAACGUCACGUUGUGAUUCCUUCUUACUGUGACUGCUUGAUUGGAAAAGAGUUCAAAAUGUGAUAUUACUGUUGCACUUCAUACAGUUUUCAUGUUUUCUGUUAUCAUUCAUGUUGUUGCUUAGUUUGCUGGUUUCAGUAUUCUUGAUUAAGUUUGAGUUACCUCUGUUUAAAUUAAUUCCUGUGCUUUUUUCAUGUUGCCUAUAUGAUUAAAUUCAAUUGAAGCAAGUUUAUCUCUUUCAAUCCUUGUUGUUGAUUCAUUUUUAUCGACCCAUCUAGGUUCUUCGAAGAAGUAGGGGAUCAGUUGAGCUUCUUGAUGUCUCCAAUGAGCUACCUGAAUUGGUGCGCAGGCCCGGUCUUAAUACAUGGAAGGUCAGUUUCAACAUGAACAAAUUCUUUGGUGCCCACUGCCCGAGUUUUGAGUUAUACUUUAUUGAAUUACUUUUUUGUGCUGCUUUAUGCUUAUGUCUUAAUAUUCACCAAGAGAACAUCUUCAAUAAUCUCUAGGCACUUCUGGUUGGCUCAUUUGAAGAAGUGCAAAUUCUGCCUUUUUUUACAUCUUUUUCUUUUGUAACUCAACUUUUAGUUUAGAGCCCUUGAUGAUAUUCUAUUAUUUUUACCUGUUGCUGUAAUAUUGUACUGCAAUUUGUUUUUCUUAUUCAAUAUUUUGUCUUCACAAAUGUUUGAUUUUGUUUUUUUUUUUUUUUUUGACCCAACACUAAUAGGUACGUGAUAGAGGAGUUUGGCUAACCUCUUAUAAGGAUGUUCCCCUCUAUAGGCGAAGUGUAAUAUUACCAAGCAUGUUUCCUUCUGGUCAAAGCUGCAAAGAAAACCAUACACUAUGCAAUGAUGUCCAAAAGGAUGUAAAAAUAGUUGGUAAUAACUUAGGGGAGGAAACUGUAGGAGUAGUAGUUAUAGAACAGGAUCAGACAAAUACGGAGCAUCAAAAUUCUUCUGAUGAUUUAAGCAGCAAUACCAUUCCAUUGGACACUGUCAAAGCUGCAGCUAUGGCCAAUGAAGUCUCCAAAAAAAGUAUACCUCCUGAGGAAUUGGAUAAGAAUUCCAUUGCAAUGGAAGUUUCAGGUUUUCCACUCCAUUAUUGCAUGAGAAUAGUUCCUCAUGAUCAAAACAGCGGAGCAUUUUUUAUUGCUGUUCUUCAAAAGAUGGCCCCUUUGCAUGGUAAUUUGGGACCGAAUAACUUUUACCAUAUUGAGGUCUCGAUGUUAUUGUUGUACUCUCCUAUGUUGUGAUUUAUGUUGUAGGAAAAGACUAACGAGUUUUUCUUUUGCAGUAGUUCCGGAGAAUCAUGCAAGUGAGCCAGCUAAAUUUAGUCAGGUAUCAGAAAAUACCAGUGAGAACCCCGAGGAUGAAAAUGAAGCAGAAGAAAGGAUAUCUGGACAAGUCUCAAUUCAAGCAGAAGAAAAUACUGACACGAAUGUUCUAGAGGAGCAACUGAAAUCAAAUUUAAGUACUAAAAAUGCUUGCUCUACAGCUAAUAACAAAGAGGAAGUGGUUAAGUGUGACGGUGGGAAGAGUGGUCACAUGGGGAUUAAGGAUGUAGAGAGGAAAGGCAAGUGGCGAGGGGUUGAUCCUGUUGUUUUUUUCACAGAUGAAAAAACCAUUAACAGCAUACUUUCUUUCUAUGGUAUCAAUGAUGCAUUUCCACUCUAUGGUCACCUUGUGACUCGAAAUAGUGAUGCUAAUCAUGUGAAGAGAAUAUACUACAUAUCAAAUUCGGUUCAGGAAGUCCUACAGCUGAAUGAUCAAGUUGGUCAGCGGCUUAAGAUUACUUCCCUUGGUUUGAAGAUUUUUGUAAGUGUUCUUUCUUUCUCAACCGUGUCAAUGCUCUAAUUGCUUUGCAGCUGUACAUGAAAUCUUCUGUCACUUUAUUGAGCUAUCAAACAGAAUGUUGAAUGUAAUAUGGCCAUAUUCGCCAGCUUACAGAGCUUCAAACGGAAUGCUGAAUGUAAUAUGACCAUAUUAGCACAGCUUACAGAGCUUCCUAUUGCAUAUCUUAAGCUUCCUUUGUGAGUAUAUCCUUUAAAAUUGCCAGUUUAGCUCGCUCUCCUGUUUGCUUAGAUGCAUGAGUAAAAUUCACAAAUUAAAAAUUCCCUCUAUUCGCAUGCCUGAUAUUAUUUGCAUUUAAUGAUUAAGUAGUUUCUGUACUAUUAUUAUUUUUAGUUUCAUUUAUGGUGUCAUUUAACUGUCAUCAGAUACUUAAAUAGAUACAUCUAACGGAUCACAUGAUUACUCUAUAACUUACUGAUAUAUAAAGAAAAGGUUUAAACAAUCUAACUUGGCGGUAUUACGUCUUUUCUCAUAUUUUAACCUUUGCAGGAGAGACAAACAUCAAAGGAUGGAUCAACAUGUGCAUUCCGGUUAUCAUCAGAAGGAUUACCGUUGCUACUUCCAUAUAUCAGCAAGCAGAUUUUGUUUGCAUCUUUAGCGGACUUUCAGCACCUUUUACAGUACAGGACGAUCAAAUUUCCAGAUUUUGUUGAUUCUAAAUUUGGCGAAGAAGCGUCAGACUUAGUUCCUGGUUGCUGUGUUGUAGUGCUACGUGAAGGUAUCCCGUAUUAUGUCUUGUAGUCAUAUUGUAAGACAUUUCUUGAUAACUCGUAAUGGUAUCUUACUCUGUUCAUUUAACCUGAAGUAAUGCUUCUGUUGCAGGAAAUCGGAGUACAGAUUCUACUGCAGUGGAUGCCUCUACAGUCGCCAUUGUUUGCUGGAAAGGCAAGACAAAUAUUAGUAUCAUGGUUUCCCCCUUGGACGGGAAGGAACUUCUCGAAAGACUCGCGUUUCGGUUCGGAAUUAAGAGCAUCUCACUAGAAGAGAAUAAAAAAUCAAACAUGGAAAUUGAGGGGGUAAGCAACUUGGAGGAUGUUGAACCUAUUGCGACCAUCGAGACAGAUAACCAAGAAAUCGAGCAUUAAGACUGAAAAGUAAGUGGUCGAAUAUUGACCCCCUUGGUUGCUGCUAUUUUUGGACAAGCAGCAGCAAUUAAUGGUCGACAAAGUUAUAUCAUGUAAAACCUCAACUGAUAUAUUGAAUUCUGCAUUAUGUAUUGUGUUAUUUGAGGGAGAUGUUUUGUUGUUGAUUUGGAAAUCUUCGUAUUCAUGGGGGCGCUACUUGGUGAAUUUGAUAGACUCUUGGGCCUGCAUCUGCAUGUUGGGUGCUGGUCUUAAGAGAGUUGCCUCACAAGAAAGAAAACUAACAUGGAAAAAAUCAAGUCAUUUACAGGAAAGAACAUUCAAUGUAUGUCUCCAGCUCCCUGCUUGGCUCCUUUAUAGGUGGGCAAAAAUAGGUAUGUAGUUUUUUGUUGCCGCAAUUCCUAUUUAUGUAUUGAUUUCGCUUCCUGGGUGAGAUUGUGCGAAUUUUGAUUGUUACAUGUCAUUCUUUUUGCUUGCUCCCAAAAGUUUAGUUGUUAUUUUGCAUGAGAAUAUGUGCUCAGAACUGGCUAGGAAAUAUCGAUUUAAAUCCUUGUUUGGUAUCGUUGCUGUUCUGCUCUCUCAAAUAGAAUUUUGUAUAAGUGUAGAAAGGAAUGUUGGAUUGAUUGUUUGCAACCUUAUGACCAAGAUGCUUGUUUGACAAUAAAAAUUAAAACUUCCAAAGCAAUCCUUUUGCUUUCUAGAUUUUUCUUGAAUUGAACUUGUCAUCCUUCUUCCCGGAAAAGGUUGAGCGAGCAAAGCCUGUUGGACUGCUCCAGCCUUUACCAAUCUCAGGUAGGCCAAGGCUGGCAGCAGCAAACUUGACAUUUUUUUAUUUGGCUGGGGUGUAUUGUGAGCUAGCCAAUCACGACUAAGAGGUAAGUUUUUUCUUUGAUAUAUUAAAAUAUAAAAAAUCAGUAUCCAAAAAAUUAUUAAGAAAAGCACUAAUGUAAAACAAGGCAAAUUUUUUAUUUUGUUGGUGUCGGUUUAACUAUUUAUUUUUUAAAAAACUUCAAAUUUGAGUCUUUUCAUAAAUAAUAACAACCCAUCAUAAAUAACCCUUGUCAAGGUCCUUUUGUAUUAUUUUUGCAAUUAAAUGCUUCUUAUUUAUCUUCAAGGAGUCGUAGUCCAAUCAAUCAUUGUUAGAUAGGUGAAAUGUGUCAGAUAAGAUGUAUGUGGUUAUUGUUUAAUUACUUCUGCAUAAGUAAUUUUGUAUUUCUGUUCAAACAUUGCUUCACAACAAUUUGGAGAAAAUGGACCUAGUCCACGUUUUCUGUUUAUUUAUUUAUUGUUUAUUUUUUCAACUGUUGUUGGUGUUUGUACGACUUUGAAAAUCGAACCUAUUACUGUAAUUUCAUAUGCUUCAUAGAUUAUCCAAAUGCAGUGUAGAAUGUAUGAUUGUCAGGAGUUUGUCGUCAAAUUUUUUAUUUUCUAUAAUUAUUUUUUUUCAGAGAAAGGUAUCAGGCUAUUAUGGGCUUUGUUAUGUUUUUUUUUGAAUGAGCUCAGUUAGCUACGUAAAGCAAUUAGACUCUGAACUUAAAAUUUUAAAUAUCAACCAUCAAAUUUUUAACCAACUGUGUUACGGUCAGUCAGUUGUAUAUGGUCAAAUUAAUGCAAUAAUUUGACGUAUUUUGGGGGGUUCAACUACGUGCCCAAUAUUUUUAAAACUAAGGUCUAUUUAUCUACCUGCUCCAUUCUGAAUUUUAUUGUCUACUGCCUCAAAGUAAUACCUGGUUUGAAAUGGUCUUUUAACAACUUUGAAUGAGGGAGAAUAGAACAAUAAAUGAUGAGCCAUCUAAAAAUGUAUCAUAUUUCGGCGUGCUUUGACUAAAAAUAGUUGAACAUUCGCAUAAACGAACCGCAUGAUUGGAUUUUUUUUUUUUCCUUGUUUUAUCAACAAGUUAUUCGUAAGCAAUUUUUUUCUGUUUAUGUUUCCUAAGGUAUCCUCACAGUGUAUAUAUCAAGUCUUAUAAUUUUAAUUGCUUUCAUACGUUACAGCUAGAUGGAAAACACAAGAAUUGCUGAUAUUUUGCGAUGUAGCAGUUAUAACGCCAUACAUUUUUUUUUUGUUUUAAGCUAUGUUUUUUUUUUUCAUUUUUCCUUCUUUCUUUUAUUUUGUGUGAUCUCGUUAAUUUAACUUUGCACCUUGAAUUGUUUGGUCUACAGGUUUUUUACUUCUUAGCUCGCACAGGAUUUCGCUUCCCAUGCCAACCUAACACCCGUUGACAAAAGAGAUAAAAUCAAGCAAAAUUGUUAAUAGUGAUAAGAUCACUUAGGAGCUCGAGGGACGAUUUACCAGGUAAUAUAAAAAUAAAUAACACACGGUUCACAUCAACUCAUCGAACCAUAUAAUCCGUAAGAAAUUUAAAACAUCACGUGCGGAUGCGCAUGUUGUAGACCAUUAAAAGCUGCAGUUAGAAAUUGUAGUAACUGUGAAACUAUAACUCAUUUGUUCAAAGAAAUUGGCAUUAAUAUAAAGUCUACUUGGAGUAGUUUCUUCGUAUUAGGUUUUUCAAUUUGUAGUCAGAUAUUAUUAUUUAAGUUUCCUGUGCUAGCAAUUCAACCUGAUGCGGUGGAAGAUUUGGUAUGAUAAUAGAGAUUCCAACAACGACGUAUUUUAAGUAAGUUGCUUAAGAAGCCACAUUGCACAAGGAUCUUUCUUCUGAAGAUAAUGCUUGUUUCAGUGUGAAUGUCGCGCCGCAGUAGUGUGUUCUUUUGCAAUGUUGCAACACUCACAUGCUUCCUGAUUUGCACAGUGCAACAAUAAAUUUCUCACCAAUGUGUAUGGGAAAUGAGGUCGCUGAAACUAUAUACCUUCGUGAGUUUGAUUGAUCUGCUCAAACAUUAAUUUGUGCCCAGUAACGUUCGCUGAGCUGCAAAAAGGAGAAAAAGUAAUAUCAUUUUACAUGAAGUUAUUCUAGAAUAAUCUAUAAAGCAAAAGAAGUUAUUCCACAGUAAUCUAUGAUCUAAUUCUUUUAAUUAUUGGAAUUGUGUUAUUAUAAUCUCCCUUGCUUUAUAUUUAGUUAGCAUAGCUCAAGCACUGAUUGCAGUUACUCAUUUAUUAUUGUAGAAGUUAACGCUAACCUAGGUUUAACUUUGUUUUUAGUUAUUUAAGGAUAUUGUGCUAACUUUGAAAAAUUAUGUCCAUGGAAUCAAUUAAUCAAAUGCAUUCUAAAAAACACGGCAAUCUCACAUGAUUUAGGAGUGGAAAGUUUUAUUAUGACUAUUGUUGUUUAUUAAAAUAGACGGUGCUUAGUUUUAGAUGCUUUAAUAGUCAAAUCUAUUUCUUAAUACUGAAUCCUACGUGCAAACUGUUCCAAAUUCAUUGAUUCUUUUCAACUAAUACAUCAACCAUAGUAUGGAUUUAAUGGGUAUAAUCAAAUCUGGGCAUCAAUUAGGGAGGGUAAUAUCGAAAUUUUGGUAAUGCAACCUGUUGAAUUGGUACUAGCUUGAGUGAUCAAAAUGAUAAUUUGGAGACUGAUGAGAAAGCAACAAUUUAGAGAUAUCUAUCAGAAAAAAAAAAAAAAUAGUAUAAGCUAAAAAAAACAAAAAUAAAUUUAAAAUAUAGUGUAGAAAUUGCUAAAAUAUAAUAGUACAAGGAAAUCUUUUUUAAAAAAUAGCACAAUGUAGCAAAUUAAAAAAAAAACUAAAAUACAGUGCAGUGGAAUGCAUAUUUCAAUCCUAAGUUUUUAUUAAUUUUUUUCAAACUAUGUUUGAGUGUUUAGUAUGGAAGCGGAUAACGAAUUAAUAUCUUUAAAAACGAAGAACACCAUUCAAAUUGACGAGUCCUAAAUAAGUUAGAUCGUUAAAAUGUAAAUAUAAAAAAUAGAUAGAUCAAUACAAACACGACACGUUAAACACAUUUUAAUGAUUACUUCAAGAUCUGUGAAUCUGCUUACGUACGUUAUGUAUUAUUCAAUACAAUAUCCUCUAAUUUCGUAUAUCAGCUCGUACCGAAUUCAGCUGGUGGUGUCCAAAAUCUCCACCUGUAAUUUGUACGGUGCAAGGAUUGUGUGCCCGGAGUUCAGCGAACAAUUUCUCGGGCUACAAGGAGACCUAUGUUGAAAAAAUUUUCCAAUCUUUUAUUAUAAUAUUAUUUAAAAAUUAAUUUGAAAGUUUAAUUUUAGAUUUUAAAAAAUUUUGAAACAAAAUUAAAUAAUAAAUAUUGUAAAGAGAAGGUUUAGAUAAAACCUAUGGAUCGAAACGUGUAGAGUACUAUUUUAAAAACGAAAUUAUCCCUUCACGUGCGAAACUUUUCGGCAAUUACUUCUAGCAAUACUGUAAGGAAGUAAAUUCUCGAGACCCGAGAAUUAGACUUCGUUUAGAAUCGACUGAUUGUCGAGUGCAUAGGCUUCGGAAAGUCCGAAGAUGAUUAAAAUGCAUAAAGUGCAUUAAGGAAGAGUCCGCGAGAGCAGCAGUGCAAAAUUCUGCACUGGAGCAGAAUUGCUCUCCGGGACCGGUCCCUGGCAGGGAGGGACCGGUCCCAUCAACUGGGCUGGUGGGGACCCCGAUGCAACCGGUCUCUGACAGGGAGGGACUGGUCCCCGAACGUUAAUCCAGCGAGAAAAGCCGAAAUUUGGCUAAGUCCCGAAAAUCCAACUCUCUGGUAAGGGCCGCCGGUCUCCUGGGGACGAGUCUCUCAGGCAGGGACCGGUUUCCGAACGCGAAAUCCCCUCUGCCUGAAUGGGAGGCUCUUGGGGAUCGGUCUCCCUGACCAGGGACCGGUCCCUCACUGCGAAAAUGUCGAGUGAAGGUUGUUUCAGAGAAUAAAAAGUUGAGGGGCUUAUUUGCAAAAUGCCUUAUAUGAGAGGCUUGGGGACCACUCUUCUCUCCCAUCCCUCUCAUUUGCUCUCUCUCUCUCACACUUUUUUCCUCUCUCUCUCUCUAGAAAGAUAAGAAGGAGAGGAAGAAGAAGAAGGAAAAGAAGAGAAAGAGGAAGGAGAAGACUGAGAAGAAGAAGAAGGUUAUCUUCUUCUCUCCCUCUCUCAAGCUUGGAGCUUGGUAUUGAGGUAAGCCUCAACCCUACCAUGGUAGAUUUCUUGAGUUAGGAUUUUAUUGCUUAGAAAUGGAUCGAAUGGAACCUAUUGAGGUUAAGGAGAUGGUUCGAGCUCGAAUUUGAAGCUUGUACCACGGAUUCCUCCAUUGUUGCUAACCUAGGGUACGAAUUUGGAAUUUUUUAAAAAUGUAGGGUUUUGAUAUCGUUUAAUAGGUCGCAAACCUAAUUGCUAGCUCUCUGAACGCGUGGGUGAAGACGGUUCGUCGAUACCACGAGCGAGUGCGAAGAUAUCGCCGAAACAAGUGUUUGAGGGUUCGUUUUGCCCCGAGGAGUUGAAGCGACGUACGAGGAUCGUGACGUCGAGUUUACUAGCUACGCUGCAUUACUAAAAGGUGGGGGAAUGCCAUCCCGAAGCAGUCGAACUGCUCUCUAUGUCUAAGUUCUAUCGUCGAUCAAUUACAUAUUGUAAGAUAGCAUUAUAGGGUGUUAAAUGCAGUUAUUACACAUUAUUGCAUGCUAGUGUUAGUUUGGUUUCGCGGAUAUAGUGAAUGAGAACCUAGUAUGCAUGAGCUGAAUAUGAGAUGGUUAACCCUAUAUGUGAUGAACAUGUUUAGAUGAAUAAGAACCUAGUAUGUUGAGAACUUGUCAAGAAAACGAGUGGCAUCUAGUUAACAAUGAACACGAACGAGUGGCAUCUAGUUGACAUCGAACAUGGGAACCCUAGUGUAGUAAGAACACUAUGAGCUUGGAAAAUGCUUGAUUCUAUGAUGAGACCAACCUUAGUUGGUAGGACCAGUUCGUGAGUUCAGAUUAAGCUCACAUAGCCUGUCUGCGUUUGUAGGGGUCGCUCCCCACAAGCUGUGCACUCCGGAGUAUUUGUCACUUGAGGGGCAGUCGCCAUGCGCUGUCCGGAUAGUCUGCGAGCUGUCCGCAGGCGGUCUCGGGGAAUAGUUCAGCGAGGCUUUUCCCUAUGAGACUUAUAAACGUGAGAUCGAGUUGCCGGAUUGAUCGAAUGAUUGGGUAAAGUAAUGAAUAACCCUUAUUGUUGAGCAUAGUAAUAUGGUAGCUACGAAUUCCUUAUGAAUUACAUGCAUGCAUGAUAUCAGAUUGAGGCAUGGUAGAGUACUCACAUUUCUAUUUAAUGCUAGUUCGUAAUUGUUAUCGCUUUCAAGUUUAUAUACCUAUCUAUCUGCAUAUCUACCUAUGCCUGCUUAGACCUAGUGGGGAGAUGGGCGGAGUUGGCGGCCGAACCCACUGGGAAUUAUGGAAGAUAGUUCUCACCCCACUCUCUACAGGUACGAGUUCGAGUGUCCCUGGCGAGCGCGAGGAUCAUGGCAAGGGCAUAGCGCCCUAGUGGUAUAUGUACAUAGCUAGCUUUACUUCCUUUUAUAUUAGCUCUACUCUGUACUUAUAUUUGAGAGUAGAUGUUGUAUAGGGUGAGGUUUGAGAGUGAUUGUAUAUAUAUUCUGGAAGAAUGUAAAAGAUAAAAUAAGUGUAUAAAGUUGAAUGAGUUUAAUAGUUAAGUUCAUCUCUUUUUUAUCACUUGUAUGCUUUACUCGUGUUGCUUGCUCUUGGUUGGUAUGCACUGUUUAUGCUUCGUUAUCGUUAUUUGAUCAUGUAUGUAAUCAAGUGUAUUUCCUGAGAACUUGUGUGCAUGAUUUCGUCGUUUGAGCCUUGGGCAGACAGGGGAGUUGCUGUCCGUUCGGCUGUCCGUUCGCCGAGCCCGAACCGAACCAAUUUGGUAGCGGACUCGGGGCGGGGGCGUGACAAAUACAACGACCACAUUUCACACUUUGGCGAAAAUCGCAAAAGUGUGCCAAGACGAACCCAAUCGAGAAAGUAGGAAAAGACGAGAUGGGGUUUAGGUAUGCUCGGGUUUUUCAUCAACUCGUGCAACCUCGCCCACCGGGUGUGAGCAUAACUCUCAUUUUCUUCCAAACAAUUAGCUUAAGAAUAAAGGAAUAUAUAUAUACCAUCAAUAUCCUUUUGAUUUCUAAUAUGAGACUAAACCUCACACAUGAAAAUUUUAGUUGGACUCCCAUAUAAAACCCAUUAAUAAUUAUUUGGCUCCCCAAAGAUCCUUAAGAAAUUUUAAAUCACAAAAAUCUAAUAAAAUUCAUCAACCCAACUCAUUCACAAAGCGUACUUAUUAUUAUUAUUAUUAUUAUUAUUAUCAUCGUAUUACAAUUACUUCAACAGCUGUCCAUCACAUGUCGUGAAUUAAUCCUGCCUAUUAAAUUAGUGUAUGUAUUCAAAAAGUCUCAUUUGCUCUAUAAUCUAAAUCCACUUAUCCUUGUUUGCAAAUUGCAACUAGCUAGCUAUAUAUAUAUAUAUAUAUACUAAAAGAGUUCCCUCCUCCCCCCAGUUUACUUUCAUGGCUACCCCACAAAGCGUACCCAGAUGGACACCAAGACCGAGCCCAAGCCCGCCGCGCCGUCCGGCAUUGACCGAGAAAGCCGCUUUCCAGAUGCACGGCAUAAGCCCUGAAUCGGGCGACGACUCUCCGAAGAGCGACGAGGGGUCCUUCCCCUUCGGCAGCUCCUUCGGGCCGCUGCCGCCGCUGUUGCACCGCCGAACUCCGCAUCAGGAGACCGAAGUCCCCGCGGAGGUCGCAAUACCGAUGGCGGAGAAUGGGAGCAGGAUGGGCGGCACUGCAGGCCGCGGCAGCGGCGGGAGGGAGUGCGGCGGUGUUCGCUUGACGUGGGAGGAUCUGUGGGUGUCGGCGUCCGACGGCAAAGGCGACCGCACGGCGAUUCUUUGUGGACUCAGCGGGUACGCCCAGCCGGGGGAGGUUCUCGCUAUCAUGGGGCCUUCCGGGUGUGGCAAAUCUACACUUCUUGAUACUUUGGCAGGUAAAAUAGCGAAACUUAUUUGAAUUUUGUUGUGUUUGGAUUUAAUUAUGAACCACUUAGAUUUGACUAUUCAAUCUUUCAAAUUUUUAAUUUUAUCAUCUAAUUUUUCAACUUAAAAUUCAAAUUUUAAAAAAUUAGAUACUCAAAUCCAAAUGGCUCGUAGCUCGGAUAAGUUUCAUACAUUUUUGCUAAUAAUGUAACAACUACAUGCGUGGGUAGUAUUACUGCGCAUAUAUAGUUGACCAUGCUCUCUGGUUUUUGUUUUUUUUGUUUUUUUUCUAAGAAUGAAAUGCACAGUAAAAUUGAAAUUAUGAUUACACCCGCAGGAAGAUUAGGCGGGAACGUAAACCAAACAGGAGAGAUUCUGAUCAACGGUAGGCGACAGAAGUUGGCAUUUGGGACGUCGGUGCGUAUACAACACCCGCCGUUGGAUUAUUUUCCCUUUUUUUUUUUUUUUGGGUCUUUUUUCAUACGUAUCUCUGUAGUCUGUACUGGAAAUGGAAGUUACAAAUAUGCAUCAAAGCUUACACUCCUUUAGAACCAAAAGUCCAUUUUACGAAUCUUGAUAGAUUACAAUGCUCUUGCUUCAGGCUUAUGUGACUCAAGAUGAUGUGCUAAUGACCACUCUCACCGUCCGUGAAGUCGUGUACUACUCGGCGCAGCUGCAGCUGCCGGACUCCAUGUCGUGGUCGGAGAAAAAAGCGCGCGCGGAGGAAACUAUACAAGAGAUGGGCCUGGAAGGAGCAAUGGACACAAGGAUAGGAGGGUGGGCCGCGAAGGGCAUCAGCGGCGGACAAAAGAGAAGAGUAAGCAUUUGCGCGGAGAUCCUAACCCGGCCCCAGCUCCUCUUCCUGGACGAGCCCACCAGUGGGCUCGACAGCGCCGCCUCGUACCACGUCAUGAGCCGCAUCGCGAGGCUCGCAAAAACGGAGGGCAUGACGGUCGUCACGGCCAUUCAUCAGCCUAGCAGUGAAGUCUUCGAACUCUUCCACGGCCUCUGCCUGCUUGCCUACGGCAGAACAGUUUUCUUCGGCGCGGCUUCGGAGACUAGUGAGGUACGCAGAUAUCUUGAUUACCAAAAGACAAAGUGACACUUGAGAGAUUCUUGUUUUCUGUUAGAAUUAGAUUAGCAAUUAAUUGCGACAGUUCAGUGAAUUGUUCUAAGAUCAUGUCCUUCUAGCUAGUAAGUAUGUGUUACAGUUGAGACAGGCCUAGAUGAGAUGUGAUCAUAACAAUUAAUAACAGGGAAUAAAAACAUAUUAAGCUGUUGUAGUUUCUGAUUUGUUCAUUGAUGUUCUUCAACUUUUCUAUCGAUUAUUACAUUCUAGCUAGCUUGGUUAUUAAUGUUCAUCAUCUUUCCUUAAUUUGUCGCCAGUUUUUCGCUUCAAAUGGCUUCCCCUGUCCUCCGCUGAGAAAUCCUUCUGAUCACUUUCUAAGGACCAUCAACAAAGACUUCGAUAAGGUACGUGACAUCUUUAUAUUAGUCAUCUUUCUUAAUUCUAAACCGCAAGCAAGUUAUGGUCUCAACUACUUUCUCUAAAUCAGGACAUCGAAGACGGCCCUGAAGCUACGACAACGACCACAGCUGAAGCUAUCGAGAUUUUGGUUAAUUCUUAUAAAUCCUCCGUCAAUUCACAGAGAGUAGCACAGCGAAUAGCUGAGAUACGCGAAAUGGUGAUUCAUAUAUCUAACUUAAGAUACAAACUUUUGUUGUAACCUCGCACGUAAUCCAUGAACUUGUUUCCGACCUUUUUUUUUGUUUUGUUUUUUUAUAUGAAGGGAGGAUCAUCAGUAAAGAAGGGUAGUCAGGCCAGCUUUUUAACUCAGACGCUUGUUCUCACCAGAAGAUCCUUUGUGAACAUGUACAGAGACUUGGGCUACUAUUGGUUACGAUUUGCAAUUUAUAUCGCUCUCUGCCUCUGCGUUGGGACCAUCUUUUACAACGUAGGUUACUCGUACGGAUCGAUCCAAGUAAGUUUAAAGCUUAUGAAAUCCCUUCCGAGUUAAAGCUACGAAGCGAGAAUUAUUAUCUAUGUAUGAUCAUCAUUUGACAAUAGUUAUAAUCUUUUCAGGCUAGGGGAUCUAUGCUUAUGUUCAUCGCAGCAUUCCUGACUUUCAUGGCAAUUGGAGGAUUCCCCUCUUUUGUGGAGGAUAUGAAGGUAUAUGUCGACUUGAUUUUCGACAAAAUAGUAAUUGCUUCGCUGUUUAUUGUUCACAGCAAGAAUUAUAGCAUUAACUGAAUUAUCUAAGUACCAAUUUAACUUGUGGUUUUCUUUUGGCGUAGAUAUUCCAAAGAGAAAGAUUAAAUGGGCAUUACGGUGUCACCGCGUUCACAAUUGCAAACACACUCUCCGCCACUCCGUACUUGGCGCUUAUCUCCGUAGUACCAGGCGCCAUCGCCUACUAUCUCGUCCACCUGCAGAGAGGUGCGGAUCAUUUCGCCUACUUUGCUCUAGUGCUAUUCAUGUGCAUGAUGUUAGUCGAGGGUCUGAUGAUGAUCGUCGCAAGCAUUGUGCCGGAUUUCCUCAUGGGUAUCAUAACCGGGGCGGGGAUUCAAGGGGUAAUGAUGCUGAACGGCGGCUUCUUUCGCUUACCGGACGAUCUUCCCAAGCCUGUCUGGCGAUACCCGAUGUACUACAUUUCGUUCCAUAAAUAUGCUAACCAAGGCUUCUACAAGAACGAGUUCUUAGGAUUGAUCUUCCCCAAUGACCGAGCCGGAGCACCUCCCACGAUCACCGGUGACGAGAUUUUGCGGAGUAUUUGGGAAGUUGAGAUGAGCUACUCCAAGUGGAUUAAUCUGCUUAUUUUGUUUGGGAUGGUGAUACUCUAUAGGAUGCUGUUCUUGAUAAUUGUGAAAAUCACAGAGAAGGUUAAGCCUAUGAUGAAGGGUAUGCGGUUCAAGGCUCCGGAGAAAUCCGUGCAUACAAUGGAGCAACCAUCAACUGAACCUUAACCGUUAAGCAGUUUGAGAUUAAAAUGGAAUAAGUAUAAUUCUCUAUUCAUACUUCAUGAAAGAGAGUUUGUGUAUUUGAUAUUGAGUAGUGAUCCUUGUGUAUUACUUAUAUGACAUCGUAUGAAGGUUUAUGUUUAUACCUCUGUGUAUCCCUUUCGCGGCAUAGAGACUGGAAGGCUAAAAUAUUAGAUGAUGAGCUCGAAAAGCCAUACUGUUUUUUGAGGAACACUUUAUGCAGAAAAUAAAAAACAGUAUCUUAACACUUGAGAUAGGCAAAAGAACAACUGGCCUUGGCAUAAUUGACCUGCACAAACGAGUACGUAAUCAGCGUUGCCGAACUGAUGUGGAAACCCUUUCUUAAGUUUUCCUUUCCCGUUGUAAAAGACUAUUACAGUAAAGACAAUUACAAUAGGGAAAAGAAUGCUCUUGUAACGCGAUAAGAGCAUGUUUGUUUUACCAAAACUGUACGUUGAAUUGAAAUAGACUUUGUGUUGAUAAAGAGAGGCAUCUACAAGGCCCUACAGAACCUAGACAAAUAUGAUGAGAAAACGAAGAUACAUCGUACCAUCCUCGUACAGGAGAGCACAUUCAAUCUAGAAUUCAUGAAAAAUAAUGGCAAAAUCCAACAAAACGAAGAUUGCUUUCCAGGUUCCACGACCAAAUUAUCUUACAUUGGACUGUUCGGCGAUAACCUGAAAUUAGCAAAACUCGUACCAUCCUUCGUUCAUAGUUCACGAUAAGAAGCAAAAUUAUACUACAUUUCGAGAGACCAGAACAUACAGAAACAGAGCGAAAAAACAGAGUAAAAUCCGAAGAGACACUACAUCUCGAGAGACCAGAACAUACAGAAACAGAGCAAAAAAAAACCAGAAUAAGAUCCGAAGAGACGCGAAUUAAGAGGAUUGCGAAAUUCACUCAACGUUGACAUGGAACACGUCCUUGCGAUCCUCCUCCUUCGCCUUGGGCACGACGACCCUGAGCACGCCGUUCUUCAUCUCGGCCUUGAUCUGAUCCAUCUUGAAGCAGUCGGCGGGGAGGUCGAUCCGGCUGCUGAACCUGCGCGCGCCCCCCUCCCCGUCGUCCUCCGACUCCUUCUCCCCCUCGCCCCUGAUGACCAGCGUGUUCUGCUCCGCCCACACCUUCACGUGCUCCUUCCCCAGCCCCGGCAUGUCCACCCUCAAGUAGAGCGCCUCCUCGUCCUCCUUCGCGUCCCACCCGCGCCGCAGGCCCCCGAGCCCCCCGCGGCNCCGCCCACACCUUCACGUGCUCCUUCCCCAGCCCCGGCAUGUCCACCCUCAAGUAGAGCGCCUCCUCGUCCUCCUUCGCGUCCCACCCGCGCCGCAGUCGCCGCCGCCGCCCCCGGGUUCUCCAGCAUCUGGUCCAUCAGGUUCAGCACCUGGCUCAGGCUCCGCGUCGGAUUGAACGGAUCAAACACAUCUGCGAUCACACAAUCAGUAUUUAGAUUUACCAUCAAUUUUGUGAAGACGAAUCACAAGAUGAUGAUUGGAUUGGAUAGAAUAAGAUGACGACUACCUCCGAAGAUGGUGGGGAAGCGGCGGGAGACGGCGGAGCCGGCGCUGCGAGGGUCGACGUCGUCGGGGUGGUCGUCCUCGUACUUGCGGAGUUGGGCGUCGGUGUUGAAGAAGCGGGUGGAGGGAGCGGCGGCGGGGCGGAGAGGGGAGAAGGUGAGCUUCUCCAGAAGCUUCGAGAGAAGCACCCUCCGUGAAGCGAUCAUCGCGGCCAUUGAUCUCGAGGUGUUUGCUCGAUGCUAUAAGUGCAACUUCUUCUCGCCUGUAGCUAUGCAGGAGACGAGGGGGUUUAUAUAGAGUGACUGGGGGUGGGGUCCGUGGGGACGAAAGGUUCGUUGUUUCUUGGGAAAGAAGUCCAGAUUCGCGUAGAAGCUUCUAGAUAGAUUAUAGCAACGAGAACGUUCCGGAGGGCGAUUUUGGAAGGUUCCAGAAACGUGCGGCUUGUAUAUGAAGAUCUGAGUCAUCUGACGCUUUGUGAGGCUGACGUGUGGGCCCGCAUCUCUGUAAGAUUACGGAAUUAAUUAGUUGAUGCUGGGUGGUCCGUCCGAUCGAGAUCAGACGGCUCUUGAAUGCUUGCAUCCGACCGUGACUUCGUUAGAUCCACAAAGAUUAAAUGAUCAAUGGAUUGAAUUUAACGAUAUAUAUCUGUAAAUUAAACAACCAAAUUAAAAUAGAUCUAUUUAAAGUAUCAAAUUCCAAGUUACUUGUAGGUUCUUAUAUUUAUCAAAAUUAGGAAACAACUUUAAUAUAUUUUACCGACCGUCCCUAAAACAAGUGGCAAAGGGUUUGAUGGUUGAUAUUUGAGACCCAAGUUCGAAUCCUAGUUGAUUCACAUUUCUAGUUAAGUUUAUUUUUAAAUGAAAUAAACAAAGUUUCUAAAAAAAAAAAAAAACUUCGAUAUACUUUGACUAUCUAUAUUAUAUAUAUAUUUUAGUUAAAUCUAUCAAGAAGGUAAGGACUAAAUUUGGUUAUAGAAGUUCGUGAAAAUUCAUCUGAACUAAAUCAUGUAGAUCUAACUAUAUCUUAGAUUAAAUUAGUUUAGAAAAUAAAAAUUUCUAAGCUGAAGUAUGUGUUGGUUUUUCCAAGGUUGUAUGUGACUUUUUUUUUUUUUUUUUUUUGAGAGAUAGGUAGCACGCUAUUCGUUUCGUUUAUUUUAUUUAGAAAUAAACUUAGUUGAAAAUAUGAAUCAACUAUAAUUCGAAUUUGAGACCUCGAACGCUAACCACCAAAUCCUUUGCCACUUACUCUAGGGACGGUCGGUGGUUGUAUGUAAUUUUUCUAAAACUGCAAAGUGCACAAAAUAUCUCCAAAUAUUUCUGUAGAUAGUAUGUAUCGAACAAAAAUAAUUUACUUGAAGAUAACUAUCUAAUAAUUUAAAUUUAAAUUUUAAUGUUUAACUUUCCAAUUUAUUUGAUUGGAAUCAUUUAAGCUAUCUUAAUACUUGU